RNAcentral lists this long non-coding RNA (68156 nucleotides) under Phoenix dactylifera (date palm). RNAcentral's name for it is "long non-coding RNA (PDAC_LNC004373)". The record is from RNAcentral. Lineage: Eukaryota; Viridiplantae; Streptophyta; Magnoliopsida; Arecales; Arecaceae.
UUGAGCACUGUAAAUGAAGUAUUCUUAAGUGUUUCUGGACGCUUCAAACAAAGUGUUCUUAUGUUUUUAAGAUAAAGUUUUAUAUAUCAUAUGAACACUUGAAGCAAAAUAUCAUUAUAUUUUAAAUAUAAAUAUGUCAUGGUUAGUUAUCAAUUUAAGUAUCUCAAUGCAACUUAAAUGAUCCUAGCAAAAAAGAAAAAAACUUGCAAACCCAUGACUAUUCACUUGGCACCCAUGCCAAAUGUCUAGGUGACAUGGAUGUUGGCGUAGACCAGGACAAUGAAGAAUAGGGUUUGUCAUCAAGUAAAACAAAAUGGUUGUGGUGACCGCAAAGGGACAUUUCACAUUUAUUGAAUAUAGUCUGUAGAAACACUAGUCAGUAAAGUUAUCUAUUGAAAGCUAAAUAGAUGAAAGUACAAAUUAAUUGGCAAUUUUGUCCUGAAACAUUUUGUAUCAAAGAAAAAGGAAGCAAUGACCCCUGAAUUUUGGUGAAUGUGUUCCUUUACUUUGAUGCAUGUUUAGGUGAAGCAAAUGGGCAAGCUGGGGUUGGGAAAUGAAAUAUACAAAGAAGGUUUGAAGCAAGGUCCGCCGAACUGGUAUCGGAACUCAUAUUGGUCGGCAAACGGUUCGGUACGGUAGGGCGUGCCGGUACGGCCAAAUUGGUAUCGGAAUCCGUACCGGUCGGCGGACGGUUUGGUACGGUAGGGCAUGCCGGUUCCGUACCAGCAUGCCCAUUUUUUGUGGAGUAUAUUAAGUUGAUUUAAUUGGUAGUCACUCUUUUUGAACUUUUUCAAUAAUUUUAAGUCUAAUUUGAUUUUUUUUUGAUGUUUCUAUGAUUUUGUUUUAACCUAAAUGAUGCAUUUUAUUAUUUUAAAAUGAUAUAAAUCAUAAAAUGAUUAGUAAAAUAUUGCAUGCUACAAGGAGCAACAUGAAAUAUCCUCAAAUCAAGUAAUGAGGUAAAAUUAUAAAAUAAUACAAUAAUUACAUACAUUUAAAGUACAACAUACAUACCGAUAUCUAAAAUCAGGUCGAAUGGCGAUGCCUCUCGUAGAUAUCCGGAUUAUUACUAUAGUUAGGAGGCCCAUUAACUCAUUCCUCUAACCAAGCGACGUUGUAGUCUUGUAUGUACAUCCUACAAUGAAUGCGCUCCGGGUUAUAAGCACUCUCAGAUAUCUCAAUGAAGCUCUAGCUCUAACACUCUCGGAUUGCAUAAUAAAGGACACCGCUCAGAGCUAGAGCUUCAGCGAGAGAUUCGAGAGUGUUUAUAAUCCAGAGCACGUUUAUUAUGGAAUGUACAUAGAAAACUAUAACACCGCUUGGUUAGAGGGGUGGGCUGGUGUGCCUCCUGAUGAUGUUGAUGAUUCGGAUAUCUACGAGAGGCAUCGCCACUCGAUUUGAUUUUACAUAUCGGUAUGUAUGUUGUACUUUAAAUGUAUGUAAUUAAUUAUAUUAUUUUAUAAUUUUUACCUCACUACUUGAUUUGAGGAUAUUUCAUGUUGCUCCUUAUAGCUUAUAACAUCUCACUAAUCAUUUUAUGAUUUGUAUCAUUUUAAAAUAAUUAGAUGCAUCAUUUAGGUUAAAUCGGGAUCAUAGAAACAUCAAAAAGCAUCAAAUUAGACUUAAAAUUAUUGAAAAAGUUCAAAAAAAGUGAUUACUAAUUAAAUCAACUCGAAAUACUCUAAAAAAAAAAAUUGGGCCUGUCGGUACGGAACCGGCACGCUCUACCGUACCAUGUGUCGGUAUGGUAUCGAACCGGUACCGUACUGAACCGUCCGCUGACCAGUAUGGGUCCUGAUACCGGUUUGGCGGACCUUGGUUCAGGCAGCAUGAGUCUUUUGAUAUUUCUUCCCAUGAUUUAGAAUAUGAAACCUUAGGGAGUGUUAACAAAAUAAUAAAGUCCUGAUUUUUGAUAUGGUUGAAACAUAUGAAGGUAUUUUGAAAGCCUAAGUUGAGAUAACAUGGAAAUCAUCUUUUGAUGUAUAUGGAUGUUUCUAUGUAUGUGUGUCUGUUUUCUUGUUCUUUUAUAACCAAAAGAUGUAGUUAUUCAGGAGUUCAGGUUUCUAAUUUAUAUCAUACAUUUAUACUUGAGGAAAAGGUAAAAUAAAAAAAAGGUUUUUAUUUGUACACACACAGUAUGAUUGUUCAGUAAAAAGUACCCUCAAAUUGGACACAUGAGGAUGAACCUCAUAAACAUGAUCAUUGUAUGCAUCAUUGUAUCUAUAAUUCAUGUAUUAAGUAUUUGAUUGUACCUUUUGGAACCUUAUCAUGCCCCUUCAAUCGCAAUAUCUUCAUAAUAGAAUUAGUUGCUAGGAUCAAGAGUGGGGGUGAGUGUAGGGAAGAAGAUAUUUUAGAAACAAUUGAAGUAAGAAGCACUUAGAAAGUGCAUGUAAGCUCAAGAUUCCAGGAUGAUUGUCAAGUGAGUGUCCUAAUCUAGAUGGAAGAUUCCAGCUACUAAGUAGAGAUUUAUAUAUCUUUUGUAAAUGAUAUUUCUUAACCAUAUCUUUAGAUCAUUUUUACUUGAUUCAUUGAUUUGCUUAAUUUGGAUUUGACUUCAUAAUUUGUAAUCACUGUUAUUAUGAAGUAUUUUUUCUCCUCAAAGUAGGAUGGGAAAAUUCAAUUUUUUGUCAACCUAUAUAAUUAUAUGUCAGAUUUUUUAUUUUAAUUGCUUGAGAUAAAAAUGAGAUAAAUCAUGUAGUAGUAGUUUUCAAGGAGUUAGGAGCUACAUAAGGAAAUUUUACUACAUAUAUGAAUUAAUUGAACAUUUUUUACAGAAGUAAUCAAACAAUUUUCAUACCAUAGUGAAUUAGUUAACUAUGGUUUAGACUUUAGACCAUGAGAUUUGCAUGCUUCGAGAUGUAAACUUGGGGGCAUGAAUGCGCAUUAGACUUGUGGUGUGGACACGUGCAUAGGGAAUUACAUGUAUGCUUGUGUAAGCUAUUAAUGUUAAUAAUUGUGCAUUAGGGCCUAGGUUAGAGAAUUAUUGGUCAAGUAAACUAGUAUUAGGAAAAUUUGUACAUUAGGGCUUAAAGCAAAGUUUUAAAUCUUGUGGGAUGGGGCUGUCUCGGUUUUCCCAUGGAAUGGGACGUGCCGUUGUCUCAUCCCAUCUCGACAGUUGGGACAGGGGAUGUCCUAAGAUGUACCGAUCAAAAAGGUGGGACAAUGGUGGGACGGUCCUAUCUGGGCAUAUGGGAUGGUAUCCCAUCUCAAUGUCCGUCGGGACAUCCUGUCAGGACUUGAAUCCUUGGCUUAGAGAACUAUCAGUUAUUAUAUACUUUUCAGCUUGUUGUUUGAUGGGCAUCAUGUGCUAUACUCCCAUUUUGCUUAAGAUGCAAAUUAGUAGGAUGUUUUGCAAGUUAUGCACUUUUGAUGUAUCAUGGCUGUUGUGUCAAAUCGAAAAUAAAUGUCUGAUAGCAAGUUGAUCGGUUAAUUCAAUAAGAAAAAAAUGGGAGUUAGUACUGUCAAAGGUCUAAAUAGAUAAUUAUGCACUUCUGAUUUUAUUCACAGAAUGGAACUUUGUGUAGGAAUUUUCAUCUUUGCCUAACUACUAAAUGCUUUUUGAUUUUGAUUUAUAUAAGUAUUUGGAGGCUAAAUCGCUAAUGAGUGCAUAGUUUUUUAUUUUUAAUGAGAAUCUUAUGUUAUGUUAAAUUAGAAUGCUGAUACUUGGCUGAUCCUUGUUACAAUCAUUUUGUGAAACAUAUAUAGGCCACUAUAUUACAUUGUUGCAAAUUUAUGUUUUGAUCUUGCUUUCAUUAUUGUAUUUGCUGGGGCAUAAUCAGCAUGGUGGUUCCACUAAUGCUUUUACGUCUUCCGAGCACACAAACUUUUAUUUCGAUAUCAAUGCGGACUGCUUUGAGGAGGCUUUAGAUAGGUAAAAAACUAUUUUAGUUUUUUCAAUCAUUACUUGGCUUUAUUCUUUUUGUCAUUUGUAACCUUUUACUUUUUUUUUUUUGCAUUCUGUUCUUCAUUCAGAUUUGCUCAGUUCUUCGUUAGGCCUUUGAUGUCUCCUGAUGCUACACUUAGGGAAAUAAAAGCUGUCGACUCUGGUAAAGUGAUGCUGUGGCUAGUACCACUUAUUUUUGUUCAUAUAUUUUUUUGAAAUUCCUAUUGAGUUAAUCAUUAUGACAUUUCCCUUUCAUUAUGUCAAAUGCAGAGAAUCAGAAGAAUCUAUUGUCUGAUGCUUGGCGAAUGUCUCAGGUAUUUUUUUUCCCCUUCUUUCUGAGCAAUAAAUCUUGUGUGACCCUUGGUUGAAGCUGGGAAUGUAAUGUUAAUAUGUUAUUUUGAAAAUGAUCAAUGAUAAAUAGAAAUAAUAGUCAGACUUGUGCAUGCCUCUACAACUCAUUCUUAUAUGACGUACAAUCAGUCAUUUUUUCCCUUUUCCCCUCAUGGAGAUGCAUUUUUUUACCUGUUUUAUGUAUGAUAGUAUCUAAUUAGCAUUAGUUGUUAAGUCAUAGUUUAAGACUGUGUUGUUAAAUUAGAUAUAUAGAUGUUAGAAAAUAAUGUCUGUUUAUCUAACACAACUUUUGUUAUCUUAGGAAAAAUAUUUUUUAAAAAUUUAAUAUUUUAUUAGAAAAUUAUUUUUCAUAAUUUUAUUUAGUUCUCAAAAUAAUAUUACUUGGUAAUUGUUUAGGAAAAAUAUUCAUAAUAUUAUUACUUUAUUAUAAAGAUAAUUUUAUAUUUUUAUUAAUUCUAAAAUUGAUUUUUUGGGGGGUUUUGUAGAUUUUAGUAACAUACAUGGUUUUAAAUAUCAUGAGAGUAGGUCAUCAUAUGUACUGACACUCAAUUCGGAGGUUUUAAAAACCUUAUUGGUGGUACUACUGGCAUUUGGCCAGAUCGGUAUAGUCCAUCCCAUUCCAACACACGAUAUGGGGCUCCAUCCUAAUAUUGUACCAAUCAUGGUCUGCUGUGCCAGUAUCGGGCACCGUACCGGUUGCCCGACCGUAUGAGUUGGUACGGUCCUGCGCCGUACCGUGCCGGGCUCGUACCGACAUAGCAGAGGCAGGGGAGAGAGGAAAAGAGAGAGAGAAGGGGGAGACAGGGAGGGAGGAGGCCGGCGGAGGUCGGAGGCUGUGGCUGGGUCCUUGUUUCGUUCGAAAUAGGGGUCCGACCACUAAAAAAAAUGGUGAUUUUUAAGUAAAUUUGGCAAAUCGAUUGCCGACUUCACUUAAAUAUUGCAAAAUUAAAAAAAUAUUUUAAAAAAAUUAAGUGAAGUCGGCAAUGGGUUUGCCGACUUCAACUUAAAAUCUGCAAAAAUAAAAGGAGCCCCCUCUGGGCCCCUAUUUUGAACGAAACAGGGGACCGGAGGCGGAGCCCCACCUCCGCGUCUCCCGUCUCCCUGGCCUCUGCCUCCUCCGCAUGGAGGCUCCCCGGCCUCAGGCCAACCUCUUUUCCUUCCUCUCCCUCUCCCUCUCCCUCCCUCUCCGCUCUCUCUUUUCCUCCUUUUUUCUCUUCUUCUCCCUCUCCGGUGACGGCGUCUCAGUUUGGUUGCCGGAACUGUUUUAGUUCGCUGCCGGUACCACUCGGAAUGUUUCGAACUGGGCAGUUUGGGAUGGUUCCGCCGACCAUAGUACCAAUGGAAGAAGUCUAUUUUUUUAUUUUUGCCUUAUCUUUAUUUUUUUAUGUUCUAUGUAUGAUUAGGCUUUUGGAUUGAUUUUCUUCUCUAUAUUAGUGAUUUAGUUGCAUUUUCAAGGGGUUUGAUGCAGGAGUGUUAAUAUUGGUAUCGACACUUGUUGAGUCAACAUGGAUCAAUAUAAACUAACAAGAUUUAUAAAUAAAAAAUAACAAAUAUAGUAUAGUAUUGCCAAAAAAAUUGAAUAAUAGCUUACUUUAUAAAUUCAAUCCCAUUUAGAGUGUCUAUGACCGUUGUAGAUAUUUAGGUUUUGUUUGUAAUUCAGAUCUUGGAAAUUAUAAUGGCAUGGAUACCGUCUCGAUCCUUGCCAGUCAUAUGUUGUUUGAUAGUGAUCCGGUUGUCAUUCCUAUUACUACAACUAUAUGUAUGUGUGUAAUCAUAGGAGCCCAACCAUCGUUGCUCAAGAUACCAAGAGGCAACACGGAACUCUAACCCUUGGCUAUACCCAUAUCAUAGGAGGGGUGAUGUACAAAGUCGAACCCCAUCGGAAUAAGUUGAGUGGUAGAUGUAUAUCGAUCUUACGUGGAUGGGCAUAUUGUCCACAAUGGCAACUAAUGCAUUAGGAGAUCCACCUAUGGCAUAUAAUGAGAUUUGCUCUCCACUUUGAUGCAAUAGCUCUCCAUAUGUCCUUUUUGUUUGUCCUUUACAAGUGUGGUCAAUCUUCUGCCACUUUGAAUCUCAGUUGGAAAAGACGUGGAUCUACACCGUGAACGGUGGCCCUUGCUGGUAUGUCUUUGAACUUCUUCCCCUUCUUACUGCUAAAGGUUCCAAACAUAGAGGUUAUUCGGUCGUUGCUUCUAUCGGUAACUUUUCUGACUGAUGAGGUUCUCCUGUAGGCUGGAUCUGUCUUGAUGGACAUGGGAAUAGCACCCCUCUUGUACUAUGAGAGCCCAAAUUGAGCCUUGUGCUUGGCAACCUUCUCCCUUUGUCAGUGUUUAUCAAGCUCUCCCUUAUGGUAGCAUAAAAUUUUUGUUUUCUCCAUUGCAUUUGGAUUCAACGCCUCAUAGUUCUAAGGGUUUCUAGAACGGUAUGAAGGUGGCUCAAUCGCCCGACAUUCACUUUCUGCCUUUUUCUUGGCACUUCUUCGCUUGUUUGCGUUAAAAUUAGCAAAGUGUGUUUUCAUCAAUUAGCGGACUUUCUACAGGUAUUUCCUAAAUUUGACAUGUCAGGGUAACUAUUGGCAAAUGUUGCUUCAACCUAGUCACCGCUCCCUUCUUAAGCUCCACAUUGCACCACUUGCACUUUUAGCAAUGCCGAUCCUAAAACAUCACACUAUGAUCUCGCAACCGUCUCUUCAAUUGGGUCAAGCCUGCUAUCGAACCCCCUAGACCCCAAGCCAGUCAGUUUGACUAGAGCAGGAACACUCUGUCUUCUUUCUUGGAUCCAUUUUUGCAAGUUUGACGAACACAUAUCAUGCAUUCGUAAUUACUUAAAAAUUAGUGAAUUUACAUUGGAAUGCAAAAAGUCACUGAAUUACUUGAGAGAAUGCUUCUACAUUAUCUAUACAUAAUAAUUUUUUUAUUUUUAUUUUUUUAUUUUUCAAACAAUAAAUUGAUAUUUAGUUGUAAAAUAUCAAGAAAUUUAAUUUUAAUUUGGAUUAGUGUAGCACUCUACAAAGGGUGCUGCAUAUACUUUUGUCAGCCCAUGGCCACUUAUUUUCAAAAUUUAUUUAAUUUUGGGCUUAGGUUUGUGUAGUCCAAAUUUAAAUAAAUUGCCAUCGAGUAGAGAUACCAAGUAGCAUGCAUACCUCCAAACAUGCUACCAAUUUUACAGAAUUUUUUGAACAUAAGUUUAUUUUAUUUUUGUUGUUUUUAAUCCAAAAAAAAAUUGUAAUAUAAAAAAAUAUAUGAUUAACAAAAAAUUAUGAUUUUUGUGUCAUUGCUUAGGUCAUCCUUAGUUCUAUAACAUAUCAUGAAAUCAUACCAAAAUACAAAAAAAUGGGCAUGAUUUUUCCUCAUUUUCCGCAUUUUUGACAUAUUUUAGACCUCAAAAAUAAGAAAGAGGAAUGAGGAAGAGGGAAGGAGAGAGGGAUCAUAUCUUGAUUUUUGCUUGAAUUUGGCAAGAAUUCACUGUUUUCUCCUUUUCUCACAGAAUUUUUAAAAAAUAGAGAGGAAGAGGCAGAGAAGGCUGAAUUCACUGUUUUCUCCUUUUCUCACGGAAUUUUAAAAAAAUAGAGAAAGCACGGGAAGCCUUCUCUGCCUUCCCCUCUUGUUAUUAGGGCAGGAUGGCUGGUCUAACCAUCCUAACCACCACGAUUUGAGUUGAACCGCGAGUGGUUCAGGUCGAUUUAGGGCCUGAACCCUCUUUCAUCCUGGUUUCGACUUAGUAUGGGUUGGUACACCCUGAACCAGGUGGUUCAGGAUGAGAUGGCAGACCUUGCGUGAAACACACUCAUGUGCACAUAUAUGUAUAUAACUAUGUUUUUUAUGCAUAUAAAUGGUCAUACAUCUAUUAGUACAUGCAGACUUUGACAAAUGCCCCUUAAAUGUAGAGGGUGGCGGGGGGAUGAAUUGGCUAAUCUAGGAGCUUCAGAUGAAAGCUGUUUCAGUAAUUGGUGGGCCUCAGGCCUUCUUUGUUCUAAAAAAAAGAGAUGAAAUUAGGUCCUUCCUCUUUCUUAAUAUUGACUGUAUUGAGUCAUAGUUUGUUGUCAUUCUGAUAUAUGUUUUGGCUCUUUGAUUUAUGGCCGAAUGCAUUAAUCAUCAGUGAUUUCUUUACCUUAGUUUGGGGGCCACUUGUUUGCUAUUAGAAUGCCAAUCAAAUUUUGCUUUGGGAGAGUCAGUCAUUCCUUUUCACAUCAGUUUUCUUUCCUGGUCUUUUAUCAAUCUUCUUCCCUUACCUAGAACCUGACACAUAAUGAAUAUGCACAUUUUCUGCUUGGAUUUAAUUAUUGUUUCUUAAUGUCAAUAUUUUCAGCUACAAAAACAUCUAUGUUCAAAGGAUCAUCCAUAUCAUAGAUUCAGUACAGGUGAGCAUUUUGAUGUUUUCAGCUAGAUUUGCUAGUCCUAUGUGUUUAUGAAAUAGUCGCAAAUAGUCUCCAUUUUUUUAUUGGUCUAUUUCCCCCAUUUAGGAAUGCUUUACAUGUACUCUGCUGUUUUAGUAUGAUAAUUGCUAUCUUCUUAGGUCACAUUGAAGGUCCGCCGUACCGACGUACCGGUGGGCGCCGGUACCGGUUUGGCUGGUUCGGGCCAAAAGCCAAAAAAUAUUUGGAGCCGGUACGGGCCGGUCGGUUCGGGCGAGUACCGGGUCAGUUCGGGCUGGUACCGGUUCGGUACAGUACGUACCGGUUCGGUACGGGCCGGUACGUACCAGUACUGACCGGUAUGGGUUGCGAAUGGUCGGAACCGAAAAAUUUAGCUAUACCGUACCGGCCCAUACCGACCGGUACGGCAGACCAUGAGUCACAUUUAGUUGCUUGCUUGCUAAUAAACUUGUUCAAGUUGUUGAUACAUUUAAAUCUAUUGUUUUAUAUUUAAUGGUUUAUUAUCAAAACUAAAAUGAUAAAAUACUAAAGAACUAAGUACUAACCCUAGUUUCUUGUGUAGAUGCCCCCAUUUUCACGAACUUGUAAUUUGGGAAAUUGUUUUGCCCGCAUGCAUUGAUUUUUCCAUAAAUUUUAACUGGGUUUGGCUAUCAUACUUCUUUAAUAUAUUUUUGUUAAAAACUAAGAAAGAAUCUGGAUCUUUCAUUUUACGAGAGUGUUUUGGAAUUUAACAAACAACCAGUGGUCAACUGCUACUCUUAAUUCCCUUCUAUUUUAUUAAAGCUGACAUAUCGUCAGACUAGGGAUGCCUAGAAUAAGCCACGUGUCUUUGAAAAAAUUUAAAAAAAGAAGAAAAGGCCUUUCUUCUCUGCCACUUCUUCUUCCCCAUCUUUCUUUCCAAGAUGUUUCCCUGUCGACCGCAUCCCAUGGAAGACAUGGCUCUUCACGGCUGUUGUCACCACCAUACACGAUGCUGCUGUCAAUGUGGCCUCCUUGCCAUCACUGACUGCAAGGCCCUGCCUAGUCUUGUCCCCAUCGCACCACCUAAGAUGAUAUUAUCAAUCCGGUCCACGAUGCUUUGAUCUGCUUAUUCUCUCCCACUAGUUGUCUCCAUCUGACCCUCCUGGUGAUAUAUUUCCACAGCAACUUCAUCUUCUACUCCACCGCCUUCCGCUCCUUCAAUGUCCUCUACUACCAUCUUGCCCAGAAUUUCUAGGCAUCGGUGCAAUGAUAGAAUUGUCAUCCUCCAAUGCCUAAAUGCAGGUGAUCUUAUCCCCAACACUGUCAGCUUUUUCACCAACAACAACAUUGGCCAAAAUACCCUAGAUUGCGCAAGAAGAAGAGAAGGAUGCAAGGGGAAAGAAGAUGGAAAAAAGACACUACAAAUUUUACCCUUGAGCUCCAACAUUCUUCAUGUAUCUGCUUUGUGUACAUAUUCAAAUGGGCUUUUACUGGUAGCUGGUCGGUAAAUCCUGACAGUUACUUGUAAAGAUACACGUUCAACAAAGCGUACAGCAUUCCAGGAGCAGCUGGCAAAGCCCAUUUAAACUUAUGCUAUUGUCUUCUGGAAAUGUGGACCUGAUUAGCUGACACUCAUUGCCUUGGAAUUUUUCCUUACUUCGUGAUCCAUGAUUGCUGCAACUUUGGAGCAUUUAAUACUGGAGAUUGAAAGUGUAAGGCAUUUUGUGUGUUAGGAGAUAACAUGUUGAAUUUACCAACAUGCUUCAGUUUUUCUUCUUUCUUUUUUUCUCUUUGAUGUUUCAAUUAUGUAUGAACUGGUCUUUUAUUGAUGUCCUAUCUUGUAUAAUGUAUUAUCAUUUUCUAUAUAAUACUAUAUAAAUUACAUAUUGAUUUUUUUGAACAGUCCUAUAUCUAUUUGGGGAAGGGGGGGGGGGGGGGGGGGGCAGAAUUUUUGCUUCAUUGAUAAAUUUAUAAAUUGGUGAUCCAUCUUCAGUGGACCAAGCAUCUUUUAUUUUGAUGAGAAAUGCAUACUGCUGCAAUAUAAAGUAUGUUCAUUUACAUAUAUGACAUGAUGAGAAUUCUUGAUUAUUUCAGUCAAUCACAGUUAAUUUUAAUGACAGAUGCUCAGAUAGUCUCGGUUCUCAAGCCAGGAAAGCUGGUGUAUUAUCUCCAAUUAUUUAUAUUCUGAUGUUUUAGGAAAUUGGGAAACAUUGGAGGUUAAACCAAAAUCCAAAGGCUUAGACACAAGGCUUGAACUAAUUAAAUUUUACGAAGAGAGCUAUUCAGCAAACCUUAUGCACCUUGUUGUAUAUGGAAGAGGUAGGGUGCUGCUUUAAAUUGUCUACCAGAGUCUUUAAUCUUCUUCUUUUUAAUUUAUUCCUGACCACUCUAAUUGGAUAUUUUAGAGGGCCUCAAUGAUAUUCAAAAACUGGUUGAAAGGAAGUUCUGUGAUAUUCGAAACACUGGACGGGACUGCUUCCAUUUUCUUGGUCAGCCUUGCUCAUUAGAACAUCUUCAGGUAUGUUGGACAUGCAUCAUUGAAAUUAACCCAAGGGACGACAAAAUUUAGAUGGCAGCACAAUACUAUGCUUUUGAUAAUAAGAUUGAAGAUCAAAAUAGCAUUUUGAUGCACAAACAUUUUCUUAUGAGCUCAUUCUUGUUAGUUUGUGACAGAUUCUUGUUAAAGCAGUCCCAAUAAAGGAAGGUCACACAUUGAGGAUUACAUGGCCAAUUACUCCUAGCAUACGGUAUUACAAAGAAGGUCCUUGCAGGUACCUUGGUCACCUUAUCGGGCAUGAAGGCGAGGGUUCUCUCUUUUACAUUUUGAAACAGUUAGGUAACUUCAGUUCCUAAUGGUUUAUACUGUAUUUGUAUUUCAAGUCAAUAUUUCUGUAGGAUAUGUUGCUAUUAGUUGGUUCCUUGGUUUUGUUAGAUCUGAUUUUGUUUUUAAAUUGUAUCUCCUGACUUUUCUGAUGUUGACCUUAGGUUUUAUUAAUCUUGUCUGGCCUUGAUUUUAGUCCAGUUUUCUUCACAUUGUAAUUAUGUGUAUUAAUACAGCUUAAACUUGUCUGGCCUUCAACAUUUUAGUCAGACAGGUAAUUUCAAAAAUAAGUAACCAAUAGUUUUUUUUUAAUGAAAGUGGAUACGCAAAAACUUACCGACCUCUCCGAUUAUUCAGAACUAGCUCUCCAGUCUAGGAGAGUGGUUAUGUUGUUUUCCACUAUUUGAAGGUUUGAACAAACAGGAAGCAAGUAGACUAGUAAUAGUUGGACAAACAUUUACUAAAUUCAGAAUUAUUCUUAUGAAUAUCAUUUAAGUAGAUAUCUUAUUUAUUUGAGAUAUCACAAGUAAAUAGCGGACAAUCCCUUGUCCGAAUUGAAUAAAAAUACUAAAAGAAUCAAAUCUUUAAGAAUAAAAGUUGAUUUCUGAGCUCUAGUUCAAAUUCUAGAUUUUGGGUUGAUUCAAAUUUCAACUUUUAAAUGCUAAGGUAUUUCUCAAACCUCAAAGGCUCAUAAAUUUUAUUUUACCCAAACAUUGCUAAAAUGAAAAUCUGGUAGGAAAACUUAUUAAUCUUAAUCUCCAAAGCUUCUGAUCUAAAAUGAUAGUAAGCAACACUUAAUGCUUAAAGUAUUUAACACAUUUAUGUAUAUAUUAAUAUUAAAGUAUUUAACACAUUUAUGUAUAUAUUAAUAUUAAACUAUUUAACACAUUUAUGUAUAUAUUUCUCUAUAUAUGUUGUAGGUUAUUACAUUUUAUGUGUUAAUGCACACAGUUUUCUUUUAGUGUAGUUUUGAUUACACGUUAUGUGAAGUUAUGUAAUUUAGCAAUAAAAAAAAUUCAGUGCAGGUUGAGCAGGGUAUUAGGUCAAUUGAAUUGCCAUAUUUAUGCAUAUAGCAUAGCAUUAAAAUAAGAAAACACAAAAAAGAAGAACAGAAACAUAUUGGGAGGCCAAAAUAGUUAGCACCAAGGGCAUACCUGCUAUUCGCAAGCAUACGAUUGAUGCCUUUUCUUGAUAUGACGUGUGAUAUGGUGCAUAUUUUUCUGGCUGGCCAUCGAUAUGCCCCUGUACAAUUAUAUUGAAUCCUUGCAGAUGACAUCACCAUUUGGUUUAUAUUACAAAUUCUAGAUUCAACAUCACCUAAGUUCCUAAAUCCUAACUUUGCCACUAUCAUGAUCAAACAAGGUGUGACAUAUACUGUUAUUUGCAAAUCUUUUAUGUUGUAAUGUUUUUGUCUCAUAUCUGUAACACUUAAUUUUCCACAAGAAAACCUACAAUGAAUUAUUUAAGUAUGUCUCUAUUUACUCUAAAGUUAUUCUCCUUUAUUUUCUUAUAAAUCUUCUUUUUCUGAUUGAGUCGUUUCAUACUGUUUAUUGUUUGACCUGGAAAUGAAACAAAUCUAUCUUAUUCUGAACCAUUUAUGUCCACAUCCCUACACGUUUACUGAAACCAAAAUAUCUGACAUUGGUUUUAACUUUUAAGUUACUUUUCUUUGGUCCGAAUUCACACUGAUAAAUCAUAUUGCCAUUCAUUUUUUGAUAUGUUUUUUUCCUGUUUGAUGCUUACUUUUGUUUUAUACUAGAAGGGAAAUUCAUAUUUCAGUUAAUACAUUUCUAAAUUGUUAUAUCGGUGAAGCUUUUGUCAAUUAUCAUUAGGAUAUGAUUUCUCAUCUCACAUACAAACUUCCAUUGUUAUUUGCUAGUGUAUAUCCUAUUGAAAAGCAACUACUGUUAGACUUCCCUUUGUUAGUAUAUAUUGAUCAAAGCUUCUCUAAUUUGGAUCAUGAGAAUGUUGUCGAUUAGUAAAUGAGCGCUCUAUAUAAGUCUUAUUUUAAAUUCUGCUAGAUCAAAAUUGCUAUUCUUGGUCAUCUUUUUAGAGACUUCUUCUUUUCUGCAUCCCAUACUGUAUAAUAUGAGGGUAGUUGCUGAUAUAUGCAGGAUGGGCUAUAAGUCUGGGAGCUGGGGAAGGGGAUUGGAGUCUUGAGUUUUCCUUUUUCUCUGUGUCUAUUGUACUCACUGAUGCAGGUCAUGGUUAGUUUCUAUUCUGAUUUUUAAAAAUCCAUGAAUUAUAUUCUGGGCCUUUCAUAUGUUCAUUAUUAACUUUUGGUAUCUCUGGAAAUUAUUGCCCUACGAUAUUAUAUAUUCUAAUCAUGGAUCAUUUAAAUGGAUGACAGAGCAUAUAGAAGAUAUUGUUGGAUUAUUGUUCAGAUAUAUUCUCCUCUUACAGAAUUCUGGAGUCAUGAAAUGGAUUUUUGAUGAGGUAAUUAGGAUCUCAUCCUCCACAUAUAAAAUUAUUUUGUGUAGUUAUUAAUUUUUUUUAUAUUUGAGAAUAGCUUCCUUCAUCGAGCAGAUCAAUUGGUAUUCUGUGUAUAAAGCAAUUGAAUUUUUUAAAACAGAUCAUUGAUCUGUAUUUAAUGGGAAAAAUAUAAGAAAUAAUCAAAAGUUUCUGAUUUCUAAUCUAAUGUCCACCUGUGUUUCAUCAUUCACUAAUUUGAUGGAGGUUUUGGUUUGAGAAAUUCACGCCCAUUCUAUGGUUGAGUUGGUUUUAUUUUUGCUGUUCCCAUUGUGAAAACUGUUGAUUGGUUCCUUACUGCCAGCCAGCACAUACGUAUCUGAAUUGGUCGCCUGUGCAGGUGUGAGUUUGAAUGUUAGACAAAAAAUGUUUAAUAAUAUGGAAUAACUUAUGGAAUUAUUUAAAAACGUGUCCAAAUUCAUUAACUGAUCUUUGGUGAAAGUUUUGUGAUGCUCAAAGAGCCACAUUUAUUAAACUUUAGGUGUUAUUGAAUUAGAUGAAGUCAAUAAAGAUAUCAUCAGUUAAUGGCUGUCCAAAACAAAAUAGAGGUCAAGCAAUCUUACUCUUCUAGCUAAUGAUGGUUCUCAGUUAGCAUUGUGAACCAGCCUUCAAGAGAAAGGCCAUCAAUUUUUGAUAGGUUUCUUAUUUUAGGAUCCUAAUUUUAAUUUGAUUUAGGAUAGGAGAUUAGUUUAGGAGUCCAAGUCCACUAGGAAUUUGCUACAUCAUGUUUCCUAUUUUGCUUUUCCUUAUUCUUUUAAGACAAUUAAUUAUAAAUCUAUAAAUAUGCAGUGUCCUAGUGGCCAUCUGAAGAAGAAAUCAGUAUAAUGAAAUUGCCCUAAGGGCUUUUGGAGGUCUCUAUCCUCUCAAAGUGAUCGAAUGUCCCUUCUUUUCCACUUUUUUUUUUAUGUUCAUAUUUCUGCGCAAAAUAUCAUUUCUAGAAACUUGGGGUCCUAUCAGCUUGGCAUUAGACCAUCUUUCUUGGUGCAUGACCUUCACGAGAAAUCAGAAGGAAAAAACUCGACAUUACAGAUUCGGAACCCUACAACAUGGCUACAGAAAGUUCAACUCCAUGAACAAACGGGGGAACAAGAGAAUCGCGAUAGGAUGCAAAAUUUGAAGCAAGAUUGGCGGCCAAGUUUGAUUAAUUCUGGAAGUAAUCAAUUUAAUAAAUUUAGCCUAGAGGCUUUUGGAGGCUCUGAUCCCCUUGAAGUGAUCGAAUAUCUUUUGUUCAACCUAUUGUCUCUAUUAUUUCUAUUUUCUUACUUGAAAUAUCAUCGAUAGGAACUGGAUUGCUUUCAAUUUUUCAUCAUGAACUCACUAGCUGGAAUGUUCUACUUGUGGUGGCACAAUUAAUCUCUUGUUUCUUUGCUGCUUUAGCACUUACUCCAUGCAUCUCCGAAUUUCAAGUCCUUUUUGACCAAGCAUCAUGAUAAACCAUAUAAUGAUCUUUUUACUGUUUAUUGUUUCAUCAGUAUUAUUGAUAUAUGAUGUUUCCUUUUUUAUAUUCAACUAUUAAAUUUACUUUUGAGGAAGCACCAAGUGAAUCUUGUUUUUCCGUAAUGCAACUGGGAUGUAUUGGAAGCAAGUUGGAUGAAAUGGAGAAAUGCAACUGGGAUAUUAUACUAUCAUAGGAUAUUUGCCAAGUUGAAGUUAAAAUUUUGUAAAACAGCCAUACAACCGGCUAUGCUUUAUGGUAUGAAAUGUUGGGUAGUUAGAAAAUACUUGCAUAAGAUGAGUGUGGCCAAAACGAGAAUAUUGAGAUGGAUGUGUGUUAAUACAAGAGAUAGAAUUGGAUAUGAAGCCAUUCAUAAAAAGGUAGAAGUGGCAGCAAUUGAGGACAAACUGAGAGAAGGAUAACUUAGAUGUUUUGGACAUGUACAAUAUAGUUUGAUGAAUACACUAGUACGAAUGAGCGAUUUGAUACAUGUAGAAAGAAUGAAGAGCGGUAGAGGUUGACCAAAAAAUCAUAUGGGUUGUAGUAGUAAGGAAAGACUUGAUAUCUCAACAUCUUUCAGAAAGUAUGACCUUAAAGGAUUGAUGUAGCCCACCCUAACUAGUUUAGGUUUAACUGUUUAAGGCUUGGUUGAGUUGAGUUGUAUUUUGCCCGGAUGCUUCUUGGAUGUCUCCACAUCCUUUUUUUUUUUGUUGAGAGCAAAUCUUUAGGCCACUUCAGCAUUCCUUCCUAUUCUAGUUUCCUAAAUUUUGACGAAAUGUCCUAUUUUUAAAGGACAGAUCACAAAUAGGAUUCCGAUUAUCCUAUGCUUAAAUCUCUUUGAGGUUGUUAACAGAAAAAACGAUUAUGGUAUCGUUUAUUUUUCUUUGGUUUCAAAUUAUUGUGCUUUGCAAAGACAACCAAGAAUCAUUAUCAUACUGCUUCAAUUUUAUUCUGAGGUGUUGUUUGAUGAAUCAAUGCGUGUUUUGGUUCUACUUCUAAAUUAUUUUUUCCUCAAAUAAAGAAAGAAAAAAAAGGAGAUUUUCAAGUUAAUUGAAUUAUGUGGUUCAAAUGUAUCAAAGAUUAUGUACUUGCAUUUUUUCAUGUUAUGAAUAAUUUGCUCUAGAAUAUUUAUAAACAAAAAUGAAGUUAAAUGUUAAAUUAUGCUAAGUAUGCAUUAACAUUGCUAUGCAUCUUCUUUUAUGUGUGGCCAAAAUAUAUGUUAAUAUAUGCUUAAAAGUUUUAAAGGAAUUUCAUUUUCUCGGUUCCAUGAUUUUCAACAGAAAAUAUUGAAUAUGGCUUUCACCACGCGUCGAUUAUGACUAAAUCUGAUAAUAUACUAAAUAUCGUUUCCAUUCUUUUCAUUUUAUAUCAUUCAUAAGUCAUAACUAAAUCUUCUUAUCUCUUCAAUUUAAGCAUAUGAUAGCUCAAAAUAUCUCUUACCUAUGUUUAGUGAAAAAAUCCACUUGUUCUCUUGGUUGCAAGGUUUCAAUCUUGAUUGGGGAAAAAAUAGUAUUAUACAAUAGAUAUCAUGCUAAUGAUUCACUGUCACAUUGCACAUGUUAAACAAUAAAUGCAGAAAUGUAUCAAAUUCUGACAGUUUAGUAGUCUGAGCUUCUUCUAUUUGGUUGUCGACCUCAUGUCAAUCCUCCACUUUUCAUCCGAUCUUGGGAUUGGUGGUAUCCUACAACAAAGAUGUUUACAUCAAUAUCUAUUUCUACUGUAUAAUGCCAACUUUGCUAAUGUGUGUGCGUGAGGUGUUUCUGAUUGUCGACGUUUCCUACUCGUAAGUUUCCCCAUUCUGUGUUCCUUCACCAUUUCUCAUCCCAUGUUUCUCCAUUCUUGUGAGGUUAGCUGCUUAGAGUGUGUAGUUGUUAACCAGAGGUCGAAGGUUCAAGUCCCUUCUAUAGUGUUUAUCAUUAUUUUUAUUAGAUAAAAAGCAUGGGCCUUGCACGUGCCAACUCUAGUCAAUAAUAACGCAUACUCUAGAGAACUAUUUCUAUGAUGCAAUUAUAGGAACUAUAAUAUGUAUACAUGCGCACACACACACUUAAAGUUAUCAAAUCAUGUUUGUGUAUUAAAUGCUCAAAACAUGUCUUUUCAACAUUGUAAAGGUAUUUAACAUCUAAAAUUAUUUGUGAUGGAAAUAGAUUUUUCCCAAGUUUCAUUAUGUGCAAUAUGACUAGAUGCUGAUAUGGUUGCUUACCUUUCAAUGCUGAUGUGUUCCAAGUGUUGCUAUGAUAUGUCACGAUAUAAAUUCCUAUUGUCGGAGCAUAGUUCAUUUCUCCCCUUUCUUUUGUGCACAAUAUAACAAAAUUACUUUUGAUAGUUAAUGUUUGAUGUAAAAUAUUGGCAUUUUACUUUGGAUAAAUAUAUUUUUAGCAUAUCAAACUGAAAUAUAAUGAUUCAUUUGUUUGCUUAGCUUGCGGCAAUUUGUGAAACGGGGUUUCAUUAUCGAGACAAAAUCCGUCCUAGUCACUAUGUUGUUGAUAUUGCUUCAAACAUGCAGGUUUGUCAAGCAACUCUUUUAAGUUGGUACCAUUGAUAAUUCUUUCGAUGUUGUAAUACAUAAUAUCAUUCUUUCCAUGUUGUGAUACAUAAUAUUAUUCGUCUAUUGGCACAUGAAUCUGUAUGUUUUGCAAUAAUGUUGUGGUUUUGUAUUGCUUAUUACUUUAUUUGGAAUUUUAAUACUUUUGCAUUUUGAUUUUUAAUCUUUUCGAGUAUUAAGUCAUGUGGUACAAGGUUAAUGUAUCCCAACUACAAACCCAUCAUUAUUGCAUGUAGAAUUUUCUUCGUCUUUGAGCUGUUUUGCACAUACACCACAUAUACGUGUACAUAUAUGUAUAUAUGAAAUACAUACGGUCCCAAGUGUCCAGGUGUCCUUUAAGUGUCUGACACUUCAACCUCCAAAAAAAUUUAGACAUGGAGAUACUUUAGUUUGAUAUACUUCUAAAAUAAACAUUGCCUACAUCAAAAAAAAAAUAAAAUAAACAUUGCAUCUGGACAUCCUUACGUUCAUUUUAAAAAGUAAAAAACUGUUAUCAUUAUAAGUGUCUAAACCAUGGUUUGCCGUACCGCCCGGUAUGGCCGUACGUACUAGCAAAAAACUGGUAUGAAUACACAUUCAAGUCAGUACAAGCCCCGUACCGUCUGUACCGAGCCGUACAAUUUGUACCGAGGCAUACCAAGAUAGAAAUUGAGAAAAAUAAUUGUAGAGCUAUUUCGGCACAUAGGUAUAGCGUACCAUACCUUACCAAACCAAUAAGGUACCCGGUAUCGAGAUUGUAGACCUUGGUUUAAACACUAAGCCAACUAUGAUAUAGCACUUGACAUUGUUGGGAACAAAGCGUCAUUAUUGAAAAUGCCAAGCAAGUACUGACACUUUCGGCAAACAUAAGCAGAACACUCCCGUUUUGUAAUUGCAAGAAGUGUCAUUGUCUCGUGCCAUGUCCAAAUGUCAGAAAGUGUCCACACACAAGAAGAUAUGCAUAUACAUUUUAUAUUAUACGUAUGCAUAUGCAUAUGUAUAUACACAUAUUAUAUGCAUAUACAUGUACAUAGACAUAAACUAACAUGAAUGGAAUGUUGAGGGCUGGCCAAGCUGAACUUCUCGACUACCUGCAAAAGGCUUUUUGCUGCUCAUAAGCUAGAUGGUUGUAUCUUUCUCAAAACUUGGCUUGCUAUGUAGUUGAUUGACCAUCUUCAUAGACAUUUGGGUCUCGAAUGGAGAUUGAAAGCCAUUCCUUCAGUGGGAAUGUAUGGCGGCACUAUUGCCAUGUUGAAAAGAGAUAGUGGUGAUAUGGAGUUCAUUUCUACUUCUAAGUAUUGUAUGAUAUUGCUUCUUCCAAUGUCGACGGAAUCGGUAUCGGUUGCCUGGUGGGACGAGUCAAUACGGGUCCGCUCCGUGCCGUGCCGGGCCCGUACCGACACAGUAGAGGAGGCGGGGGAGAGAAAAAAAAGAGAGAAGGGGGAGAGGGAGGGAGGUCGGUGGAGGGCCGUUGAAGGCCGGCGACCUGGGCAGGAAACGGAGGAAACCUUCACGGUCGGAAAAUAGGCGGGUGUCCUAUUUCGUUUGAAACAGGGGUCCUGCCCCUUUUUUAUUUCACAAUUUUUGAGUGAAGUCGGCAAGCGGAGCUUGGAGAAGCGUCCUCCGCACGGCUCGCCGGCCUCCGCUGGCCGACUUCCACCUCCCUUUCUUUUCCUUCCUCUCCCUCUCCCUCUCCCUCUCCCUCCCUUCAUUGCUUGCUCUCUCUUUUUCUCUUUUCUUCUCCCCCUCUGGUAACGGAUUUCGUUUAAGUUGCCGGAACCGUGCCGGUUAGCCGCCGGGACGGCUUGAAAAGGCCUAAACCGUCUGGUUCGGUACGGUUCCGCCGAUCCUGGUUUGUCCCCUUGAUAACCCUGCUUUGAUUUUGGGAGUCCAUCGUGACCUAUGGCUUGAACUUUCUCAAUCCUCCAACUCAACUAACCUAUGUUAGUUGCUGGUGAUUUUAACAUUGACUUGUGUGCUGAGGAUAAAAAGGGCGGGCUACAUUAUUCUCACAGACAAUUUAGGAUCAUGUUAAUAGGUAUUAUUCAACUUACCGAGACGAGUGGUAGUAGCAAAAGCAGUCAUGUUAAGAUUGGUGAAGUUGACCAUCAUGAUUUGAAUAUCGAAGCAAAAUAGUGUUCACACUUGUGCCCUCAUGCACAACUGGAAGAUGUAGAACCACACUGAAUUAUUACAUUUAAACCACCAACAAUCAAGUCGCUACUCAAAAAACUUUGCUCUGGAUAAAUCUAAUUGAAACCACACAUUGCUUGACCACUCUCCAACCUUGCUCUGAUACCAUGUAGCGCUAUAAACACACGAACAACCAAUCUCAAAAUCUAUGGCUUCGAUACCAUGUAAAACUACAAACACACGAACCACUAGUCUCAAAAUCUAUGGCUCUGAUACCAUGUAGAACCACAAACACAUGUACCACUAAUCUCAGAACCUAUAGUUCUGUUACCAUGUAGAAUGUCACGCUUCCCGACAUAGAUCAAAUAUGCCGGUUCAGGAUCUAGAUCAAACACGAAAUAAAUCAAGCAAAAAUAGUGGAAGGAAAAAUUUUGGAGAGUGAAAUAAAUUACUCGAUAAAGAGGACAAAAAUAAUGAGUGUGGCUCCCACUCUCGAAGAAUGCCUCUUCUUAUCAAGAAGAAUUCUCUCCUACUCUUUAUAAAACCACAAUCUCUCUCCCACUACAGACAAAAACGUCACUAUCUCCUACUAAAAGGCAAAAUUAUCAAUAUCCUACUUCAACUAAAAAUCAAACUCAAAUAUAAUAUGGACUUGAAUCCUAAAGAUAUUAGAACUAAUGCCUAACUAAAGAAAUUCUAAUAAGAUUACAACUUGGCAAUGAAUCUCAACACCUAACCCCUUUGCGCCAUCACACUUCUGGCCCUUAAGUCAAUGUAAUACAUUAUACGGCCUCAUCACAAAGAUAUUGUCCUCUAGAUUGAGGAAGGUUGUGAACAUGUUAAAAUUCGAUAUCAGCAGGCCCAAAUGGUUCAGCGGGUUCGGGUCGGGUCGGGUUGUAGGGUUGGAAACCUAAAAUUGCCCAAAUUUCAAACGGAUCGGGUUGGGUCGUAGGGUCGGGUCCGAAUUCAGAAAAGCCAGACCCGACUCCGAAAAUGGAACGGUCCAAUUUUAGAACCCAACCCGGCUCCACAGGUUCUUUAAAACAGGUCGGAUCGGGUUUAAUCGAGUUGGGUCGGGUCGUGGGUCAACCCGACCCAGGCUUAGCGAUAUGCCUUCUGAAUAUGAAAGGAAAGCUGACUAAAGGUUGUUGAAAAGCUAAAGCUGCUACUAUUGCUCUCGAUAGAGCAAGAUGCUUUUCUUGCUAGAAGAACCAUCUUUGAUAGCAUAUUAUUGGCUCGGUAAGUUAUGCACAGCCUUCAAUGAGCAUAACCCUCUAAUUUAUAAUUGACCAUUAAGCUAUAUAUGGAAUCAGCAUAUCAUAGACUUGAUUAGAACUACUUUCCAAAUAUAUGGAUUUAAUGGGCAUGAGCUGUGUUAGAGAACCCUCCUUUUCUGUCCAUAUCAAUGGUACCAUAACUUAGUUCACAUCUUCAAUGGGACUUCGGCAUGGAUGUCACCUGUCCUUUUAUCGUUUUAUUUUAUGCUCGGAGAUUCUAUCUAGGUCACCAAACAUGGCUAUGAAAGCAGGGUUGGUGUGUGGAUUUAGGUCGAGCAUUAUAGGCCCUGCCUUCAAUCAAUUAUUAUUUGCCAACGACUGCCUAUUGAUCUCUAAAGCUAUGCACAGUGGUGGUAGCACUUUAGUGAUGGACUAUUGUGCACAAUCGGAAGAACGGGGUUAAUCUUCAUAAAUUUAUUGUUGUUUUCUUGCCAAUUUGGACAACCACUUACCGUUGGCUGUUUCUUGGAUUCACGGCUUUCCACACCCUUUCUAUUUACUUGUUAUUGCUGAUGCUUGUUCCAUAGCUUGGGGUUUCUCCUCCAAUUACCAAGAUGUUCCCUAAUCAAGGACUGAGUGCUACUGGCACAAGGCAUGCCAACCAAACAAAAAAAUUGAUGCUAGCAAAAAUUUAAUCAAAAAAUGGAGAAAAGGAUGCAGUGACCUAUUGCUUCUAUUGUUACUGGCUUAGAACGUUAUGUGCUUGCCAGCAUGGAUUGGUACUGGCUGGCACUUAAAGCCUUGUCCUUCAUUAUUAUUAUACCUCUUUUAGGUUCCUCUCCAAGCAUAAAGCAUUACCAUUUUAUCCUUGCCAAAGCCUUUUGACUUUGUUGACUGUUGUUGGUCUUCUUUUGAUUUAGUCACCCUGAUUUUAUAUAUUGCUUCAUGACCUUUUGCUAAUAGCAUAUUUUUUUAUUCAACUAAAACUUAAUAGUUUUUGCACACCAUUCCAUGAUAUGUUAAUUGAACAGUUGAUAUUACUGUCUCAUAUCUAUUCAAAUCUCUAACUUGUAAUUUUAGAUCUUUGAUGGCUCAUUUCUCUUGUUUUAUUUUGACACAAGAUUAAAAUGUUUAUCCAGUAGUCCUGUUGACCUCUAUAUGGCUCAGGUUUUUGUUUAGCUGAUUCACAAAUUAUCAUGUCAGAUAUUUCCACCAAAAGAUUGGCUAGUUGCGUCAUCGUUGCCAUCAAAAUUUGUUCCAAAUACAAUUCAGAAGAUAUUGGAUGAGCUGAAUCCAACAAAUGUCAGGUAAAGCCCCGAUACUUUAUUACCAAGCGCAACGUCUUAGUAGGACUUGGUAUGUACAAAGGCAUUUAGUUCAAUGAAUUUGACAUUGAGCACUGAAAUAGAGGAUGAUCUAUCUUACAUGCGGAUUUUAUAUAUUUACUAAUUAACUGUUCUCUAGUCAAUGCUGUUCCUAUGGAUAUGGGCUGUUUCUUGUUAUAUAAUUAAAUUCUAUAUAAGUAUUUUUGGAAGUACAUGCAAAAUAAAUUCAUCGAUCAAUAUUAGUAUUAUUAGUGUCUUGGCUUAUUCUAAGUGUACAUUUGUACUUUUUAUGUGAAUAAUUGGCUUCUUGCAUUCUUGUUGCAUCUAAAAACUUGAUUCGUAUGUUACAUGAUGUUAGAACUUUGAGAUGAUCUUAUGCAAAAAAGGAAAGCAACAUUGUUGGAAAACAUGAUAAUUGAGUUACAGCAUUAGGUCAUGCUUGUAACCAAAGAUUAAGGUGUCGGAUAGUACAUGUCGUAGAAACAAGGCAUUUUCAGACACCUUUCAGCACUGAAAUUGGGUUGAACCUGGUACUGCUCAAUACCAAGCCAUAAGGUGUGUAAACACCUUUUUUUUUUUCAUUUCGCAUCUUAAGCUGUGCAGGGUGAUUGAAGCUUGAAGCUGAGUGGUUUACAUUAGAAUAAAAAUGUGUAUUUUCGGAUCUUGGAAACCAUAAUUUGCAGUGAAAAUGUGUCUUGUAAUAGUGUUUGACUUCAAAUUCGUCAGUCUUUUAUAUGCUGACAUGCGUGGACACACAUUUAAAUAGAUGACUAUAUUAAAGUAACUUCUUCAUGCACCUGGUGGCUGUGCAAUCCACUUGUCUUCAAAAUUCGCCUUACCAUAGGUCAUGCUGGCUGUGUCAUAUUGGAACCAUACAUGCCAUGCUGGUUGGUUACCAGCAUCCGUAUGGGCAUUGGAUUUUAAAACCUUGCUUGUGACUUGUCAUUAUGCUGAAAUUUAAGUGUUUUCUUUUCUUUUGAGAUCAAACUUUAAGUUAGUUAAUUUAUAGAAUCUAGUCCUGUAUUUCAGCCUCUUGGGAUUCCUUCAGAACCAUAGGAUUUCAGCUUGUCAAAACAACAGGAUCUCUUUUCUACCAUCUGAAUGCUAGGAUUGUCUUGACAUCUAGAGAUUUGAAGAUCUGUUUGUAGCAUAAGUGAUUUGUGCAGCAUCGCGAAUCUAUUUCUUUUGUUUUUGAGUUUUUUUUGUUGGGCUAACGUCAAGAGAUUAAGGUAAUUGGUUAGGGGUGCAAAUGUGCAAUCUUCCGGACCUUCUUUUCUGUUUAAUCUUAUGGUCUAUUUACAAAUAUAUCUGAACUCCAAAGAAGCAGAAGUUGACAGCCCAAAUCCUCAAUCAUUUGACAGAUCAUUUUCUAAUUCAGAACAAACAUGCAGUCCUAUUUGACUUUCUUAAGAUUAUCCUUUUAUUUUAACUUGUUUCUUUUUUGAGUUAAUUUUUCUAAUUUCUGGAGAUGCUCCUAUCUAUCUAUUUAAUAUCUCUCUCUUUCUCUCUCCUUAAUUUAAUAAUAGCAGGGGUUGAAAUCUUCUGCAUACCAGCCCUGCACUGGCUGGUGAGCUGGUAAUAUAGGGGCAGGCAUGCACCAGGUGAUUUGAACCUGUAUUGCUUCAUAUUGAGGCCCAUGGAGGCUUACCACCCCCCAUCAAUGUGUAUCAACCCUCUACCUACUUUUCAUUUAAAAAACAAAGAAAAAACUUUUUCUGCUCAAUUGCACCAAGGUGUAUCGAGGCAUUCCGUCCCGUAUCAACGAUCACGCCUUACCUUCCAGCCAUUGAUACACUCUUGAUCCUCAACAUUUGAGUUCUUUCUGAAUAGAAAGAAUACCCUAUGGUUCAGAAUCUUUUUACAAUCUCUGCCUGGACUUGCUUCCUAGUUGCUAUUCUUACUUCUUUUUUCCUAAGAGCUCCCAUUCCUUGCUUCUAUACCUGAAUUUGCUAUCGCAUUUGCUGCUAAUUUGAGGUAAAUGAGGCUGUCCCUUCUAUGGAAUCUUACGCUUAUGCAAUGCGUUCCCAAAACUUCUGCAUCAUCUUAAUUUUUUCAUAUCGGAUUUUCUACACAAGGUGCCACACUUUCUUCGGAAUCUCACUUUCCCAUUGACUCCUAUGCCCUACACUAUGCAUUUCCUUAAGAUCAUAAUCACCAAAUUAGUAAUUUAACAUUAUUUAAAAUUCAUUAUUAACUCUCUCUCUCUAUAUAUAUAUGUAUUAUGUAUAUGUGUUUCUUAGGCACUUCCAUAGUCUAAGCUUUCUAGCUCCUGCCUUUAGUCUACUCUCAGUUGCAAUAGGAAUACAAUACUGACUAGGUUAAUUGAACAUGUUUGUCUAGUACACUAAUACUUUUCAUGGAGCUUCAUUUAAAGCUUUAUUCAUUUAUUUCUAUAUUUUGCUGCAUCCUAGUUGGUUUUCAUCUGUUGGUGGGUAGUCUUGCUUACUUAGCCCUUUGUCUGUUUAAUGUAUGGUCAGUGCUAUACGCUUUUGUUUUUGCUUCAUUUAUGCAUUCUAUCAUCCACUUCUUUAAUUCCUUUGAGGCACAAUUGGUCUAUCCUCCUCGUUGAAGUUUUAUCCCUUUUUCUGACAUUGAUUGUGCAAUUGGUCCAACCUAUCAAUGUUUAAUUCAGCAUUCACUGUACCACUCCAAAUCGCCUGGUUUGGGGUGGGCCGAGCCGAACCGAGAGGGAAUCGGAAUGAUUCUCCCCUUCUAUUUGGUACAGAGGCCCUAGCUCAAUUAAUCCCCCCAACCUCGGAAUCUCAUCCCCUGGCUCAAUCCCCUUAUUCAGAUGACUUAAAUCCCCCUCCCCACCUCGUGAUUGCUAGAGACCCCCCUCAUCUUUUGCUCGCUAUCGAUGCCCCAUGACGACUCAGAGUACUCGAUCCUCCCCCUUCGUCCGCCGCUUGCCCGCUCUCCAAGCAUCGCUGAUAACAUCCCCCCUUUCCCUCCCUCUCUUUCUCACACUCAGGUUAGGGUUUUCCUCUCUCUCCUCCCUCCCUCUCUCNNNNNNNNNNNNNNNNNNNNUUUCGUUCUCUCUCCUCCUCCCUCCUCUCUCUCUCUCUCUCCUCCCUCCCUCUCUCUCUCUUUUCCCCCUCCCUCUUCCCCUCCCCCUCUUCCUCUCUCUCCUUCUCCCCUGAUAUCUUUGUUUUGGAAUAGGGGAGAAGGUUUCGAACUAUUUUUUUUUAAAUUUUGAACUAAAGUCAGAAAACCAUAUGCUGACUUCAAUUCAAAAUUUGACAAUAAAGAAAAAAAGGUCUGAAACGAAUUGGAAUGGCACGGUACUGGUGUUAUACCAUGCUCUGUACCGCUAGGCAGUACUGUGCUCUGUAUUGCUAGGCAAUUGGUACAGGUCCCAGUACCGGUACAACCAACCUUAGUUUAAUUGAUUUGGCUUCUUUUCUCUACACACAUUCUUAUAGUCUAGCAAGAGGUAAGAAUGGCCACUCCUAAAUUAGGGUGGACUAAUUUUUGAUGACUGCUCUGGCAUGGCUUUUAGGUUUUGACAUUUUAUCAUCAAAUUUACAUCAUAUAUACACUGUACAACCUCAAAAUCAUGGUUUGCCUAAGUGGGCCAAACUGGGACUACUCGGUUCACCCAGUACUGAAUCGAACCGGUGCGGAAUCGGCAUGGUUCGGUGUUGUUUUUCGGAAAAUAGCAUGUAUCGGUGCGAACCAGAUGGUUUGGAGCGGAACUGGAGCGAAUUGCUCGGUUCGCACUAAUUUGAACUGGUUUGGCCCCCCACUCCUUCAAUAUCUCAAAAGAUUUGAAAAUGGUCCGCUGAACCAGGGUGAACCACCCGGUUCACCCCAUACUGAAUCGGUAGCCAACCAGCAUAGUUCUCGGUAUUGGUUCGGCUAACCUUGCUCAAAAUGAUUGUUAGAUAACCUAUAAUUAAUUUCUUGUAGAUGGACAAAGCAUCAAGUAGUCAAUAUUCAUGACUUUUUUGAUGCAUCUAAGGUUACUAGUUACCACCUUGUAAUAACCAGUAUGCCAAGCGGCUCCUACAAGUUGCAAUACACCAUAGAAAAUACUACCAUUUUUUGGGGGGUAUUUGCUUUGAAAAUUGUUAUUCCAUGACUCAUUCUUAGUCUUUAAGUGGGACAAGAUGAGAAUGUGACAUGUUAGAGAUAAAAAUAUAUGAAUUUUUAUCAUGUUUUGUGUAGUUGCUUCAUGUUAUGUACAUCAACCAUAGUUACCAUACAAUAGACUCUUGUAUCGAUCAGAUCUGAAUAACUAUUUUUGUCGGUCGUGAUGCAUUAUUAUUUCAUGUAUUGGGCUAUUGGCACCAAUGAUGGAUUUUUUACACCGUUGCAGCUUUCUAUAAUUUGUUCCAGCAAUUACAACUAUAAGUCCAUAUUUUGCUUUGUAUUUGCUGUUCUCCUUUCCAUCGUCACCUUCGUAUUUUCAAGAGAAUCAAGACAUUAUCCCAUUUAUUUGAUGAAAAGAAAAUGAUCCUCUUUUCAGAAUAUUCUGGGAAUCUAAAAAGUUUGAAGGAUCUAUGGACUCAGUUGAACCAUGGUAUGGAACCCCGUAUUCUAUUGAAAAAGUCACUGCUUCCACAAUCCAGGUAUAUUAUCAAAUUUAUAUUUAUUACUUAUUCUUUUGGGAAUACACUGUUUUGACAUCAUACUUCAUAACAUGUUUUUGUUUUGCUCGUAAGCUACUAUUGUUUCUUUACUAAGCAUUGCACAGUCCUGAAUUAGUUUCGCAAUGUGCAAUAGUUAAUCAUUUUCUGAAUGCUUUAUGUUUUGUAGCAAUGGAUAGAAAAUGCUCCUGAUAAAAAUCUACAUCUUCCAAAGCCUAAUAUAUUCAUCCCAACUGAUUUGUCACUUAAACAUGUCCAAGAGAAGGUAAAUUCUUGAUGGCUUAAUUUUUUUUUUACUGUUUUUUCUAUAUAAUCUAAUUUCAGAUGUAUGCAAUGUUGUGAUCUUUUAAACAGGUUAAAUUUCCAUAUCUCUUAAGAAAAUCGUCAUUUUCAAGAUUGUGGUACAAACCUGAUACUAUGUUCUUCACUCCUAAAGCUUACAUCAGAAUAGAUUUCAACUGCCCUCAGUCAAAUUACUCGCCUGAAGCAGAGAUUCUCACUGCUAUCUUCACAAGGUUAUUAAUGGAUUAUUUGAAUGAAUAUGGUGAGCUAUUACUUAUCUUAUUCCACCCAAGAAUAUCAAGACUUUCAUGUUUAGACUCUAUCCAUCUUCUGUACAAACUGUACUUUGAUAACACCAUGAAAAGUUCUGAAGGAUCAGUCGAUCAUUCUUUAUUAGUUAAGGGUUUUUGGUAUGGUCCAUGCCAUCAAAGACAAUGGUUUAGUAGUUUAACUGAGUGGGUUUGGGAGCUUUAUUUAUUCUGAUGCUUUACACUGAAGAAAGAUGGCUGAAAGGAUAGAAUCUUGGGGAUGAUAAAGGCUGAGAGAGCUAAACUGGAGGCCAGAUAUGCAGUAUUGGAAUUGGCGCCCGUGCCGGAAGGCAGGUGGUAUGGUACGAUAUCAUACCGUGCCAUUCUGCCAUGUACCGACGAAGAAAAAUUGGAGGAGGAGGAGGGAGGGGGAGAGAGAUGUCGGGAGAGGGAGAGAGAGGGGACUCGGAAGCCCCUUCAAAUCGAGGGAGAGGGAGAGGGGACUCGGAAGCCCUCCUCUCCUCUUCUGCUUGGGCCGCUCAGCGGAGUCCCUGUUUCUUUUGAGGUGAAGAGAGAGAGAGAGAAAGAGGGAGAGAGAUGCUGGGGAGGGGGGAGAGGGGGGGGGCUCGGAAGCCCUUCGCUCCUUUGCUCGAGCUGCUGGGCGAAGCCCCUUCAAAAUCGAGGUGGAGAGAGGAGAGAGGGGGGAGGGGGGGAGGGAGGGAGGGAAAGGGAGAGGGAGGGGGAGCAUGAGAUGCCGGGAGAGGGUGAGAGAGGGGGCUCAGAAGCCCUUCUCUCCUCCUUUGUUCGUCCAUAGGGGGCACUUGGUGGAGCCCCUAUUUCGAACAAAAGGGGCUCGGCCCUAAUUUUUAAAUUUUUUCAUUUCUUUAAGUGAAGUCAGCAUAGAGUUUGCCGAUUUCACUUAAAGAAAUGAGAAAAAAAAUCGGGGUCGAGCCAGGGGCUCCACCCAACACCCACUAUGGACGAGUGGAGGAGGAGAGGAGGGCUUGCAAGCCCCCUCUCUCACCCUCUCCGGGCAUCUCUCUCGCUCCCCUUCCCUCUCCCUCUUUCCCUCCCUCCCUCUCUCUUUUUUCCUCUCUUUCCUUCUCCCUCUCUCCUUCCCUCGCCCUGGUUUCUCGAACCGAGGAUUGGAACCGCGUUGCUCUGCCCCCGGUAUGGAUGGGUACGCCCCAAACCGGAUGAUUUGGGGCAAUACGGUGAUCCUUGGCUGGAGGUUUACAUUGCAGAAUAGUCAUUGAAGCAUGCAAAGCCACCAUGAGACAUGUUCUGUUAUCUAGUGGGUUCUUACUUUUUAACUGUAUCUAAUCAUAGUGAUCAGUACCAUUAUGGUUGGACCAGUAUUCUACAGCAUGUGUCAGUACGAACUAUUGCAGUUAAUAGUUACAGAGAAAAGAACCUACCCAAUUGCUUUCAUUUCAUUCUAUGAUGUCCAAUCCACUUGAUUUCUUCAUUAAAUCACUUCCAUGACAAAUCAACACAAAGAAUGAUCCAAUUUGCUUUGUUAGAUGUGGAGGCUACACUGAGUUGCAUAUUUAAACCAGAAACACAUGAUUUUCUUGAUUCCUUUUGUUUUUCAAGUAUUUUACUCUGAUAACAAUAGAAAAAUGAAAACCCAUUUAUAAAUCUCCUUACAAUGUUCAGGAAUCACAUAUCUGUAAACUCUUUCAACAAGUCCAUGUUUCAACUAUUGGACUGAUGAAGACUAAACUGAAUCAAAUAGAAGAAUGUUAUUUUCCCAAAUUUUUUGUUAGCUUUUUGAUGAAUCAACAAUAAAAAUUGACCUAAACCUGUUCCGGUUCUUUCAAAUAUUAAGGUCAUAACCAAAUCUUGAUUUUCUCUUUAGAAAAUGUUAUGAGUCAUGUUUUAAGUAGUAAGUUACUAUUUUUGCAAUUAAGCUUGCUUUUGUGUACAAGAUAAUCAUGUUCCAUCAAACUAUCUGGUGAUGGUGUCCAAAGAUGGGUCCAACUAUUUUGACAAACUAAGCAACCAUUUUGUAAGAAAAAAAUUUAGUUUUCUCCAAAUUGACUACCUGAAAGUGCGUUAAGGGAAAAUCAACUUUAGAAUUAUUUGUUUAUUUAUUUAUUCAUUUAUUUUAUUUUGGAGCUAUUAGCUUGGCAUCCUUACAAUCUAGGCAGGGUUUUUAAGGGUAUUGUCGGUCAAAAUCAACUAUAUUAUGAUUGAUGAGAUACCCUAGGAGUUGAGAGGUAUCCAAGUUUAUAAUGUCAGAAAGCGAAGGAAGAUGAGAGGGGAAAAAGAUGAGUAGCUGACAAACCCAUAUUCGAGGAAACAAGAAUAGGCUAGUGAGAAUCCCAUAGAGGAAAUGGCUUGUCUGAAUUGAGUUCCAGAAUGAUGAUCCAACUCGAAAGAAGAAGAAUAUAAUGAUGCUAUGUAGUGAUGAUCUGAGUUGGCUCAUAGGAAAAGAGAAAUAAAAUCAUGGCUUGAGGUGCCUGUAAAUGUAACCAUAUCAAUAGCAAGGGGCCUACAUAGUGCAAAAAAAAUAUGAGAACAGCACAUGCUGUGAAAACCUUAUUGACAAGUUGCUGAUGUAGGUGUCGUGUAGGGAGUGUCCACAUUGUAUAGCAUGAUUGGCAGUGAAGUUCCAUGUGCAGCAAUGCAAAUGCAAAUAUGAGAAGAGCACGUGCUGUGAAAACCUUAUUGACAAGUUGCUGAUGUAGGCAUCAUAUAGCGAGUGUCCACAUUGGAUAGCAUGAUUGGCAGUGAAGUUCCAUGUGCAGCAAUGCAAAUGUGUGCCGGAUACUUGGAGGCCAUGAUAAAUUGAAAGGAAGCUCAAUGGACCCAAACGUCCCAGACUAUGAGUGUAACAACCCAGAACCUCACCCAAAAAGGCUAGCCGGAAGGUAUUUUUUGGAUUCUUUAGUCCUGUAUAAGUACCUAAGAUCUCUCUGGCGAAUAACCAAUGUGGGACUAAAUACACAUCCAUACGGGUCUUCACAUACUUCCUCCGUUUAAGCCCUGACGUCCUUGUCAGGCUAAGGGUCAAAAUCAAUUCAAAUCUAAUCACAAGUACCAUGAUCGGCCUGUGGUCAGCCUCAAUGAGCUCAUGCUGCAGUGUCUCCUAGUCCACAGGGGCCAUAGGCCAGGUCCGCUCAGAUACCAUUUGUAACAACCUAGGACCUCAUCCAAAAAAGCUAGUCGGAAAGUAUUUUUUGGGUUCCUUGGUCUUGUAUAAGUACCCAAAAUCUUUUCGAUGAAUAACCAAUGUGGGAGGAACCUCAUCGUUAGAGCGUGAUUAAUGGUGGAUCCUUAGGAACCCUAUUGUGGAGGAUCAUUCUCAUGUGACUACGGUCGCUUGGGAUGGCGUUGAGGUUGUUUGACAGACUCAGCUUUUUUAUGCGAGGAUCCGUGCGGGCGUGUGUUUAGUCCCACAUUGGUUAUUUGCUGGAGAGAUCUUGAGUACUUAUACAGGACUAAUGAACCCAAAAAAUACCUUCUGACUAGCCAUUUUGGGUGAGGUCUUGGGUUGUUACAAAUGGUAUCAUAGCGGACUCGGUCCAUAACCUAUAUGGACUAGGGGAUACUGCAACAUGAAUCCAUUAGGGAUAACCACGGGCUGAUUGUGAUGCUGGUGAUUAGAUUUGAAUAGAUUUGAAUCCUUAGCCUAGUGGGGACGCCAGGGCUUAAACGGAGAGAGAAUGUGAGGAUUUGUGUGGGCAUGUUUAGUCCCACAUCGGUUAUUUGCUGGAGAGAUCUUAGGUACUUAUAUGGGACUAAGGAACUCAAAAAAUACCUUCUGGCUAGCCAUUUUGGGUGAGGGUCCUGGAUUAUCACAAAUGGAGGACCCAUGCGAGCGUGUAUUUAGUCCCACAUUGGUUAUUCGUCGGAAAGAUCUUGGGUACUUAUACAGGACUAAAAAUCCAAAAAUAUCUUUCGGCUAGCCAUUUUGGUUGAGGUCCUGAGUUGUUACAAAUGGUAUCAGAGUUAAAUUCGGUCCAUGACCCAUGUGGACUAUGGGACACCGCAACACGAGCUCAUUGAGACUGACCACAGGUCGAUUGUGGUGCUUGGGAUUAGAUUUGAAUGGUUUUUGUCCCUUAGUCUGAUGAGGACGUCAUGGCUUAAACAGGGGGAGUGUGUGAGGAUCCGUGCGGGCGUGUGUUUAGUCCCACAUUGGUUAUUCGCCGGAAGAUCUUGGGUACUUAUACAGGACCAAGGAACCCAAAAAAAAACCUUUUGGCUAGCCUUUUUGGGUGAGGGUCCUGGGUUGUUACAAUGAGAAUGAUAGUUUAGCAAGGAUACUUGAACUACCUUCAAUUAGAGAGUCUGCUCAUGAACGAGUAGAUAAUGUGCUCAAGAAUGUGUCUUCGAGAAUUGACGGUUAAAUAUGCUGCAAUACUCUGCAUGAUUCUGAUGUGAAUCCAUGUAUAAAUAAUUCUAAUUGGGUCACUUAGCUUGUGAAGGCAACUCCAAUCGAUUAAGGUUGGUCGUCUUGAGAAAAUAGAGCAUUAGUGGUGGUACCUAUAGGGCUAGCUUAAGUUCACAGGGUAAAGCUCAGUUGGUUUAAAAAGUUCUAGUCGAAAUGAAUAUUUAAUGAAACAUAAUCUCAUAAAGGCAUGGAUUUAAAUGAAACCUAUGUGGUGGGUUGUGUAAAGGCAAGGAUCAGCUUACAAGAUCCCACCGAUCGAAAUAAUGGACAAUUGUUCACUAUGCCAGUGGGUAUGCAUAGCUAGGCUAGAAUAAACUAGAGUGAAGAUAUUAUGCUUAGGUUGGCUGUUAUAUCAUCUUUUCUCAGUUUAUUCUGUGCCAAGGACUUGCAUGAUUCACAGCCUCUCUGAGCAAUCCAACGCUCCUUGAAAGAAUGAGCUGACUGUGUUUUUCUUCCUUUUCUCCUAUUUCAGCUUAUGAUGCUCAGGUGGCUGGCCUUUAUUAUGCAAUACGCCACACUGACACUGGAUUUCAGGUAAACCUUUUCUUUUUCCCUCAAGUGGCUGGGAUGUACUUUGUAACAAACUACUGUUCAGUAUAUUUGUGUAGAGAAUUGGAUUUCUUGUUAUUAUUGUCAUUCCUUUGUAGAAACCCAUGUGCUUUUGAUCUUUUGUAAUGAGCUUUCUCUUCACUUUUUAUCUAUUUAGCAUUUGCUUCCCCCCUUCUUUUUCCUCUUUCUUUUGGCUACUGAAACUGUUUUCUAAUUCAAAAGAAUUUUUCUUUCUCAUUUUGUUGAAGGGAUGUGAUAAUUGUUAGUCAAUUUAGUUUACCAACAUUCAAAAAUGCUACAACCUUUACAGAAUGUAGUUAGAACUUAGAACCAUUGCUGGAGAAGUACAUCUUUUAUGGAGGCUGCGCAAAUAUUGAGUGGUGGAAUGCUGUCAAUUGAAUUUCUAAAUCUUCAGAAGUUCACCACUAAUGGCAAAAAUCAAAGUUAAAUUAUAACCUAAUCACCAGUUUGUGUUUAUGGCCAAAUGUUGAAAAAAUUAUUUAUCAGUAUUCCAGUUGCAUUGUGCAAAUUAUAUUUUCUUGAUUCUUCAUCAGCAAACAUUGCUUGGAUGAAAACAGUAGACUGGAAUUGUAGAUGGUUCUAAGAUAUUCUUGCCUUGAUAGUAUAUCAUCAACCUUCCAGAAUUAUAUGCAAUUUCAUAAACUUUUUGUUUGCAUCAGUACAUUCCAUGCGCUAACUUGUUGCCGUAUAUCUGCAGGUGAUUGUGGUUGGUUAUAAUCACAAAAUGAGUAUUCUAUUAGAAACUAUAAUUGGGAAAAUCAAGCAGUUUGAAGUUAAACCAGACCGAUUUGCUGUGAUAAAGGUAAGUAAUUAACUUUUAUACACUUGUAUAAUGCCUGAAUGAUCUAUGAUCUUGGUUCUAUUCUUCUUUGAAAUAUCUUGAAAUUUGUUGUAUCAUGUUCAAGCAAUCUCUUGCAAUAUCUUUAAUGUUAAUCUAUUUUUCUUCUUGUAUAACAACUUCUUUAAUUGCAUAAGAGUUAAUGGUAGGUGAUGCAACACUAUCUGCCUACAAGUUUUAGCUGUGAUGCAUGGAGGUUUCAAAGGAUAGAAACAUUUCACAAUUUGCUAGAUGAUCACUAAGUUAAAAAAGCUUUUACCGAAACAAUUUUUUAACCUUAUAGGUUUUUCCUUUUCCUUCAAGUUUAUCGUGAACUUGACUUCAAUGUUCUAGGACUUCAUAUAUAUAUAUAUAUAAAAUCAACUAUUUCUUGCUAUCUUAUCGUCAAAUUUUCAUUGCAAAAGAAUUUUUGCAGAUUGCAAAAGUUUGGUUUAUCUACCUGAAAGCCUCACCAUGAAAUGCUUCUUUUCAGUAUGUAUUAGUUUACAUCAUGGCAUGAAUUUCUGUCAUAGGCAAUCCUUAGAUGUAACUUUAUGAUGCUCAUAUGGAUUCUUUUUUUUUUCGCAUUUGAUUUGUCACUUCUCCAGCAUAUGCCCUAGAUGGCCUAUUGGAGUUAUGUGUAUACAAGAAAUUGACCUGGAGUCUUAAAGGAUAAAGAACGAAGAUGGUUGUUAUUUAGUAAAGUUAUAUGAAAUCAAUUUGGAUUGAAAUACUACUGUUCUUGAAGUUUUGCAUCUGUAUUGUUAUGAAUAAUGUAGUGUAGCAUCACUUUUUACAUAACGUCGAUAAGAAGACAGUGCAAAUGGCACUAACAGAAUGUCAAGAUCUUUAAUCUUAUACAAAAUAACUCCUAGCCAUUUGUUGCAUUUGAAAAAACAUCACAAUUACUGAAGACCGAUGAUUUAAGUAUUAUUGCAUUGCAUACCACCAGAUGGUGUGACAUGUUUGCCUUGAAGUUCAUAAACUUGGUCUUGUUCUGGAAUUUGUGGAGUUUCGGUUUCGGCAGUUUCGGUGAUCUUGGAAGUUCCACUCUGAGUUUCAGAGUUUGGCCAAAAAAUGAGAAAAAAGCAAAAAAUGAAAAAAAAGAAGACAAUGAAAGAAGCUAAGAAACAAUUAUCAGAUAUCGUGUAAGAGUAUUUCAUGUUAUUAUAGAUUCUUCAUUUUCAACAAUCUUAGGUAGAAAUUAGUAUUGCAUAUGAGUGAAAAUAUACUGUUAUUUGUUGCUUUGAACACAUACAUACAUAUUCCUAUGAAUGAAAAUAUACAUACAUAUGAGUGAAAAUAUACUAUUAUGUAUAUAUAUAUNNNNNNNNNNNNNNNNNNNNAUAUAUAUAUAUAUAUAUAUAUAUAUAUAUAUAUAUAUAUAUAUAUAUAUAUAUUCCUUCUUGAACUUCAGAUGUUUAAAAGUUCAUUAUAUAAGGAAAAGCUCACAAAUACGUUGAAUUUGUAUAUUUUUUGAAAUGGGUAUUUAAUCAUUCGCAUGUACUUAAAGAAUGUUACUUUAUGUGAAAAAAAUAUUUAUUUGAAAUGACUUGUAUUUACAAUAUGCUGUAGUAAGAGCUUUCUUGGUGGCUUCAACCUAUCAAGGGUUAUAUUCAUUAUCUAUCUCCUCUUUUAACUCAUGAAAAAGAAAAAAAAAACAUUGAAAAUCAAUAUCAUAUAGCAUGGAAUUCCGAACCGUCCAUUUCGGGGGCGUACCAAACCGAACCGAGGCAGAACCGGGACAGUUCCCCCCUUUGGAUCAAAAUAAUUCAGAGCGGUUUGGAGCAGUUGGUUCUCCCCCUUCCCAUGUUAAAUAAAAGGAGAGGGGCUUGAGAAGGCCUCUCGAGCCUUCUCAGCUCCUGUUCUCCUUUUUUUUUAAACGCCCAAUAAUCACCAAAAAUUAAUGGAUUUUGAUGAUUAAAGGCUAGAUCCAACCCAAAACAAGGUAAUGUGAUUCUCCCUGUCCUCAUUUCUUCAUUUUUUUUUUUCUUUUUGAGGCUGGAAAAUGAUAAAAAAUGGAAAAAUAAGGGGACAUUUGUAUGUUGGUAUUUAUGUUGUACUUAAAAUGCAUUAAAUUGAUUCUAUAUUGUGUAUUUCAUUAACUUUUUUUUAUGUAAACGAUCCCGAUAUCUACGAGAGACAUUAACAAUUCACCAGAUUUUAGAUGUCAGUAUGCAUGUUGUACUUAAAAUACAUUAAAAUGAUUCAAUAUUUUGUAUUUCACUAAUUUUUUACAAAUAUACUGAUUGAUCUACUUUAAUUGCAUUUGAUUAUAAAAUUAUGGCCAAUUUAGGGUUAUGAAGCAUCAGAACAACAAAUUACAUAUCAAAAAACAUCAAAAGACAUAAAAAAACAUCAAAUUAAGGUUAAAAUCACUUACAAAACCAAAAAAAAUUGAGAAAGGCCAAAAAUUGAAAAAACAAAAAAAAAGGAGAUUGGCACACUCUGGUGUACCAUGUGUCGGUGCGGUAUCGAAUCGGUGGCAAUCGGUACAGAUCCUAGUAUCAGUUCAGCUUACCUUGUCAUAUAGUCUAUUUUUUUAAAUAAAUAAAUAAUGACCAUAAUAUAAUUCUAAACAUCGUAAGAUUUUUUAAAAGAAGCAUCUAUGGCCAAUUUAGGUCAGUCUUGGUCACAAUUGCUGAAAUUGAUCGAAACUGGAACCAUGGUGUUUGUUCCAGGUUAGUCUUGGUAUGAUUGUCGAAAGACUAAAAGUUAAUGAUAUUUUCUCUUGAUUGUUGUGCUAACAUUUUGCACCAAUUAGCAUGACAAGUGCAGCUGCAUGCCCCAUGCUAGUGGAACUUGAAUCCUUGGUUUGAAACAGAGUUCAUUGAACCGUCCUGAAUCAGGUGCUUCUGGCCGCACCGGACCAAAAUUGGCCAAGAACUGAGAUGGACAGUUUGGCCUUCAAACCCCAUCCCCCCUGCGGCCCCCUCGUUCUCUUCAUGGCUUCGUUCUCUCUCUGUUAUUUCGCCAUGAACCAAAGCUUUGAAGCCCCAAUAUGCCGUUGCUGGAGGCUCCACCGAUACCCAACACCUAUGCCCUUGAACGAUGCCGAUGCCCUCGAUCGAUGCCAACACCUUGUACUCUUCUUCGCCCGCUCUCCCCCACAUCUUCACCCUCUCCCUUUCCCUCUCCUUCGUCUUCUCACCCCCUUCUUUGUCGUCUCUCCCUUUUUGUCUUUCUGCCCUUUGUCUUCUCCCUCUCCCUCUUUCUCCCCGCCCCUGGUUCUCCUUCUAGGGUUAGAGUUAGGGUUUUGUCCAAGGAAUGGCGAACUGGGCCGAACCGCCCGGUUCGGCUUAUAUCGAGCCGACUCGGUGGGAAACCAGGUCGGUUCAGCCUUUGGAUUCAGUCCCGGCUCUGAACUGGCUGGAAAAGGUUCGAAUCGCGCCUUACUGGUGCGAACCGGCCUGGAAUCGGCCGGUUCGUACCAAGUCGACUCGGUUUUGAACCGGGCUCCUCCCUUUUUCAUUGUCUAGUAUUAAAAUGCUGUUGAGGACUUUUCCAGGCCGGUUCGUACCAAAGUCGACUCGGUUUUGAAUCGGGCCCCUCCCUUUUUCUGUCUGGUAUUAAAAUGUUGUUGGGAAGGCAUUUAUUAAAAUGUUGUUGAGAAGGCCCGAGAAUGCCUUCCCAACAAUAUUUGUAAGCGACGGAGAACUUUCCACCUUUCUUCCUUCCCACCAAGUCCGAAAUCACACCGAUUCAGCACUUUAGAAGAAAGAUCCAAGCCUAAAUAAGGUGUGCUUCCUCUUUUCUCUCAUUUUCAUAUUUUUUUUGGGCUUGAAAAAAAUAGCUCGAAAAUUGCAAAUUAAGAAAAGAUCAUGCCAAAAUUUUUGAUUUGGGAUUGAUUUUAUUAUAUGUUGUAGAUCUAUGGGCGAUCUACACGAUGACGUAAAAUUUUUUUAUUUUCGGAUUAUAUUUAAUUUUUAAAAUUUAAAAAUUUAUUUUUGGAUUAAAAAAUUACCAAUUUUUUAAAAAUAAAAUUUAAAAAAUUAUAAAAUCAGAAGCGUAUUUAGGGGUAUUCAAGUUACUCUCUAGCAAAAUAUGGUGUCCAUUCAUCAAGUUUUGAUGCGAUCAUGCGCACAGUUGCCUAUGCCUAAAUUUAAAAAAUGAGAAAUAAGUAGCCUUUGAUGCAUGCCUAAGGGUCUAAAAAAAUAUGUAGCAUCCACUGUUGGAUUCUACAUGGAUUUGAGCUGAAAUCAAUUUUUUAAAAUAUUAAUAUUUAUAAAUUAUUUUUAAAUUUGAAAAGCAGCAGGAGCUUGAUUGGAUGGGUUGUGGGCCAACAGCAGGAGUCGGAGCUUGAUGAACGAGGAUUGCCUCCACGACCGGCUAGUUUCGUAGCAGCGAGGUUAGGACCAAUGCAGGGCAAUUGGCAGAGAGCAAUAUUCCACACAUUCUUUCAGCUGAUCCAUCACAUCCACAAGAUAACCGGUCACCACAUGACUUCUUGUCCGAGACACUCUUAGAGAUAUGGUCGAUACUUAAACAAGGCCACUACGCUAUUCGGUCGAUUCAGUUAAGAGGGUGACAUACAUCCAACAUAGCCAGACAAAGAGGCACGAAGGUAAGCAGGCAGCCAGUGGCAUGAAAGAUAAGAAGGUAGUUGUCCAGCACACCAAAAAAGAAAAUAAAAGGCACUUGCAGCUCCAAUGGAGUGUCGAGGGGUCAUUUCACUUAGAUUCAUAGAUCAGGAGCAGCAAUUUUGGUGGUCAUGGAUCUGCUGGCUAUAAAGAGAGUGGAGGACAAGAGACCAUCUUUUAUGAGUCGCAUGGUGGUCUUUGAUUCACCGGUGAGUUCCAAUUUAUGCAUGCUAUACAGGAUAGGGACCACGGUGCACGAUCUGGUGGAGCCUGCCAAGAUCUGAUUGCAUAUAGGAGACGGGCUUCUCGAGGUCAUGCAGGACACGAUGCAGCUGCAAAUGAUCUUGCACGUGAAGUAGGAUUCAUAGACAUCAGAUUCAGAGUCGUAUACUGGAUCUUAGUACUCACAGCCACAGGCAGCCUAUGACCUAUACGGAUAUGGAUAUGGUGCGUCUGAGGCAUUUUUCGGUGGCUACUAUCCUACGCAGUUCGGAGCAUCUUAUGGGUCGGAUUUUGUUGCCGGCUUAUUCGGAUGGGCUUCUUCACAGCCGUUUUAUCAGCCAGAGGACACCUCUCAGAGCUAGAGGUUCAGCGAGAGAUCUGAGAGUGCUUAUAAUCCGGAGUGCGUUUCUUAUGGGAUGAACAUACAAAACUACAACGCUGUUUGGUUAGAGAGGUGGGCUGAUGUGCUUUCUGACUAUGCUGAUGAUUCGGAUAUCUACGAAAGGCAUUGCCAUCCGGACCGAUUUUAGAUAUCGGUAUAUAGUGUACUUUAAAUGUAUGUAAUUGAUUAUAUUAUUUUAUAAUUUUUAUCUCACUACUUGAUUUGAAAACAAUAAGAUGCAUUAUUUAGGUUAAACCGGGAUUAUAGAAACAUCAAAAAACGUCAAAAAAAUCAAGAAAAUGUCAAAUUAGACGUAAAAUUAUCGAAAAAGUCAAAAAGAGUGAUUACCAAUUAAAUCAACUGGAAAUACUCCAUAAAAAAAAUUGGGCAUGCCGGUGCCAUACCGGUACCAUACCGAACCGUCCGCCGACCGGUAUGGGUCUUGGUACCGGUUCGGGAGACCUUGGUUUUCUCUCUCCCCCCUUCUCUUCUCCUGAUUCUUCAUCUUCGGUACACUUCAGCAUGGUACAAUACGUACUAAUACUAUGCCGGUAGCUGGUUGGUUCGACCUUUGGUACUGUUCUAGCAAAUCUUGGUGCGAAGAAAACUUUAUUGUUCAUAACUGCUCCAUAGGACUCUAUCAUCAUUAGUUUUCCUCCAUACAUGCAGGUGCAUGAACGUGCAUGUGCAUUUGCAUUUAACCAUGCAUUGCAUAGUUUCAAAUAGGCAACAACCAUGUCUGCGCGUUGGCAUGACUUCAUCUACAAUUUUGCUUCAUAGACAAUCUUAAAAACCCAUGGUAAGUGAACAAGUGAACAGAGUGUAGAUGACAGUCAUAAUCAGUGCAUUUGUAUUAAAUAAAAUGAACAUGUAAAGGGUCCUGAGAAAAUAUAUUUAAAAUUUCAUGGAAGGAUCUAAGAAAACCCUUUUUAAUUGGUUAGAUUACUGGUCUGCACAGAAAAACUUAUGGGAAUGAAUUCCCCGUUCUAUGCAUGUGCAGUUUUACUAUGAGCAACGAUGUAACAGUUGAUUUAAAGGAUAGAUUACAUUUUGGGUAAAUUAGAUUUGUGGAGAACAUGCAAGAGGUUUUUUUAUUUCUUAAUUUACACAAUCAAGUCCAAGGAACCUAAAGUUUGCUGCACCUUUAUUUUUGGCUGAUGAAACAACAUGAAACAUGUUAUUUUGCUUAUUUUCCUACAUUUUUUGAAAAAUAUACCAUAGAAUUCGUCAUCUCUAUUAUCAUAUUAUGGUGCACCAUAACAAUCAGAAUAGACCUAUAUUUUACCUUCUUAUCGUUCUUCAACAUAAGUAAUUUCUGAGUUUCAAUUUCAAUACUUAUUAGGAAACUGCAACAAAGGAUUAUGAGAAUUUUAAAUUCCAACAACCAUAUAAGCAAGCUUUGUACUACUGCUCUUUACUACUUGAGGACCAUACAUGGCCUUGGAGUGACGAACUUGAAGUCCUUCCUCAUCUUGAAGCGGAUGAUCUUGCAGAAUUCUUGCCACGCUUGCUUUCAAAGAUCUUUGUAGAGUCUUACAUUGCAGGUUAGUAUGUUACUUGGCAAGUUUCUUAAGCUGUACCAUAUAGUCAAAUUUUGAUUUCAUCUUAUCUUUUUGUAACUACCUUGCAGGAAAUGUUGAACCGCAUGAAGCAGAAUUAAUGGUCCAGCAUAUUGAAGAUACAUUAUUUAAGGCUCCACAUCCCAUAUCAAAAGCUCUGUUCCCAUCUCAGCAUUUGACAAAUAGAAUUGUGAAACUUGAAAAAGGUCUAAAGUAUUAUUACCCAAUCGAGGGUCUAAAUCAGAAGAAUGAGAAUUCUGCACUCGUCCAGUAUAUUCAGGUGCACAUUUCGUGCAAUUUUUUCUUAUUUACCAAUAUUUCUAUCUUAUGUGCAUGCAAGCAUAUUUGGGUUGAAAUAACUACUGAAGUUAUUCUUUUCCAUAAAACAUAGUUUAACUGUUUAUAAACACUACUAGCAGUACCAGAGAAGACUCUUUCUCUCCUCCCCUUCCCCCACCACCUCGCAAAAAAACAUAGACACGCACACAUAUACACAUACAGGCUUAUGCCUUGCACAUAGAAAUCACAAUAAGUUUGUGGUUAUUAUUUGAUUAAGGCUAUUCUGUUGUUUUCUGAUUUUGUUGGGCGCACUCACAUCCGUUGUGUGGGAGCCGCCGAUGUACCAAAAAAAAAAAAAUUAAGGCUAUUCUGUACAUGUGGCUGGACGGCGCUAUAUGUUGGUUGGAAUAGCAAGGAGUGUUAAGUGAAAGUUUUCAUUGUCCAUUUCCCAAUUUUACUUCUCUAAAACUUCUAUAUCAACAACAUAAUGGUUGUUGAGGCCGUAUUAUUUGUGCAGGUUCAUCAAGAUGAUAUUAAGUUAAAUGUUAAACUUCAGCUGUUUGCUCUGAUUGCGAAGCAACCAGCUUUCCAUCAGCUUCGAUCUGUUGAGCAACUUGGUUACAUAACUGUGCUUAUGCAAAGGUAUGGGGAACUUCAUUUUUCUAGUCCUACCUUAUACAAUUCAAAGUUGAUACAUGAUUAAAAUUAUGACAUCGCAUACCCAGGAAUGAUUCUGGAGUGUGGGGUUUGCUGUUCUUGAUCCAAUCAACAGUACAGGUACCUGAUAUCAAGUAUUUUUACAUAGGCAUAACAACCUAUUUCUUCAAAACCUAGACUUAUUCUAAAUUUUACAGGAUCCAGCAAAGCUUGAUACAAGAGUAGAUGCUUUUCUUCAGAUGUUUGAAAGUAAACUGCAUGAAAUGACCGAUGAAGAAUAUAAGGUAACUCCUUCCUGUUCUCCAAGAAAAGAGGGUUUAAACCUUGGUGUAACUGUAAGGUUGCUUCAUUAUGACCUAGAAGUCAUGGGUUUGAAACACACAAAAGCCUCUCCGCACGUGGGGAUAAGGCUUUGUAUAUCUGACCUUCCUCAAACCCCGCAAUGGCGAGAGCCUUGUGCAUUGGGCCUCUCUUUUCCAACUCCUUUCCGAGGAGGCCUGUCUCACUGUUGCUAAAAUGCAGAAUGGGCGAUGUAUUGGUUUCACAGAGUAUGCAAGUACAAUGACCACUCAUUUCUACACAGCUGUACUACUACCUUAGUGGGUCUACAAAUUUAAAAUUCAUUUAGAAUUUUAGCUCAAAGAGGUCAAACUUGUAAUCUUGCACAAAUGUGAGGCCACAAACUAAUCUAACCUAACAUGAUUUGUGGGAUCUAUGAAUUUAAAAAUCAUUUAGAAUCUUAGAUUAGAGAGUCAAACUUGUAAUCUUGCACAUUGCGAUGGCCACAAACUAAUCUAAUCUAACAUUAUUUGCGGACAGAAAAGUUAAUAGGAGCAAACAGAAAUACUGAAGUCAGAAUUUUUUUUUUUAUGCAUCGGCUGUCUGAUGCGGGAGACUUCUUGUAUCUUCUGGCAUCUUCUUCUCCUUUAUUGCUUGGCGGAGCACUUGACAGCAUAUGCUUCUUUCAAGCACUAUCUUGCUAGCCACAUAUGCCUUUAUACAUGCUUAUAUAUCCAGUUAGGCAGCAAAUGACCACACAUGAUAGGUCAAUCAUAGUCAUUUGACCUUAACAGAGGACUUCAGAAAACCUGAGUAAUACAGGGCAUUACAGUUUUUAUCAGUUCAGUGCUGUCUAAUGAGACUAGUAAGAAUAGCAUGUUUUUAAUCUGGAGAAGUCAGUUAAUAUAGUCGUAACUGAUUUAUUCUGUACAAUGAAGCCAGGUGCAUCUGCCUAUCUGUAAAGUUGAGAUCAUUUACAAGUUGGUAAAUGAGUAUAAACUUCUUCCAAAUUCUAGAAAGGUUUUGUUGUACCAGGAGAAAUUAUCCACCAUAAUAUACAUGUAUAGGUAUAGAGGAUUAUCGCGUACAUUCUUGAAUGUCUAUUGCGUGUCACUUAAAAAUUUACCUAAUGAUGUCGGUGAAGAAAUCAAAAACUUCCACUUGCUUUUAUUUUAUUUUAUUGGUGCCAUGUCCAUGCUUUAGAUAUAGUCUUAAGAUUAUCUAUUAUUGAAAUGGCCGUUACAUGCAGGGCAAUGUGAAUGCACUAAUUGGUAUGAAACUAGAGAAACACAAAAACCUCUGGGAGGAAUCCGCAUUCUAUUUGAGAGAAAUUGCUGAUGGAACUCUGAGGUUUGAUAGGAGAGAAUUGGAGGUAAUUUCUCGAGCUCAAUUGUACAGAUAUAUCCUUGCCUCCUGUUAUGUGAGUCUGGAACUUGCUGCAUCUGUUUUGUGAAAAAUUACAGGUUGCAGCAUUGAGAGAUCUCAAGAAAGAGGAACUGAUGGAUUUCUUCAACAACCAUGUCAAAGUUGAUGUACCACAUAGAAAGACUCUCAGCGUGCAUGUCUAUGGCAGUCUUCAUUCUGCUGAGUACAAAAGAGUGAUGCAAGAAGCAGAUCCACACCAAGUAUGUCAAAUUAAUGAUGUCUUCAGCUUCAGAAGGUCAAGGCCUCUAUAUGGUUCCUUCAAAGGUGGCCUUGGCCAGAUGAAAUUAUGAACUCUGUGAAGCGCAGCAUUUCUUCAUUUCUUUUCACUUUGCAGUUGUCUUGCAUUGCUUUAAAUUGUUAUCAAAUGAAUAUUGUGACUUUUGAACUAUUAUUUGAAUUCCUUUGAAUGAACUCGAGCAUAACAUUUUAACUUGUUGACUAUUGUCUGAUAUAAUUAUCUAGAAAUUGUUGCAAUACCGAUAUGAUAAAUUUGGUUUUAUGGGGUCUGGAGCCAAUCACUUGUUAUAGCUUAUUUGACAAUAUAUAGCAUGAACACACCUGUUUUGUGACACAAAAUUCUUGUUACAAACCUCUUAUCGAUCAUUUCAUAAAUUUGUAUUAUUUCGAGGGUCAUGCAAUUUAUUUUUGGAUAGGGAAAAUGAGAUAUCUAUAAUUCUUGCUCUUUUUGUUUCUUUUAUUUUUUGAAAAUCCUUGGUAGAUAGAAAAAGUCAUAGCAGUCGGCCCACCAUUUAUUUUUUUUAGCAGCAGCGAUGCAGCAUCAACCGUUUCCUCAUCAAAGUGCGGAUCUUGCAAUCGUGCAGCUGAAAGUUCGAGUUUGCGACCAUCAUUAUGGGUGUUUUUUUCUGUUCAAAAUUGCCUGAUUUAUAGACAAAAAGCCUGCCUAUAUAUCAUCCGAGCGAAUAUUGUUUCACGGUGGAAACUGGUGAAUUUCCGUGGGUUUAUCGGGAACCUUCUCAAAAUAGGCUGAUUACCAUUCAACAAACUGUUCCCACGAACAUUAUGGUGAGACUUGUAUUGCCACUGUACUCGUAAAUUGAGUACCGAUAUUCUCUCUCGCUCUGAACAACCACCAAAAACACGAUGGGCUCGUUUGGUUCGCGGGAAGUAUUUUCCCUCCUAGGAAUAUGUUUUCUGGGAAUCAGAUUCCUAGGAAAAGGAUACCUAGGAAAGUACUUUUGGCAUGUUUGGUUAACCAUGGAAAAGUGACAAAUUUUCAAAGUGCUUAUGUUUGGUUGACCAUCCACUUUCCUAGGAAAGUUAAGUAUAAUUUCUAUUAUGCCCUUAAUAAAAAUUAGGUCUUUAAUGCCUCUUUAAUGCUUCUUUAAUGCUGAAGGAUCUUUUUGGGAAAAAAUAAAAAAGGAGUGAUUCUCACCUCAUGGGAAAGUAACUUUCCCAUGUUUCUCAUGGGAAAGACUUUCCCAUGAAAUGUGGGAAUCAUAUUUCCAUGGGAAUACAACUUUCCCAUCUCUCUCCUUUGAAAACUCCAACCAAACAAGAGGUAUUUCAUUACUUUCCCGUUGACCACACUUUCCCCCCUCCUUUUUCUGCGAACCAAACGAGCCCGAUGAGAUGAGACUUUCCCCCUUCAUCGUGCCUCCAAUGAGGUCAUCAUUAGGGGUUGUCAUAAAUCAUUAGGUCGGGAUGGAUUAUCCAAAAUCAAAUCCAAAACUCAAUUAAAACACUACGUCCAUGCUCGAUGUUAGAUCCAUAAGAGUACCUAAAGUGCGAUCUUAUGAAUCUUAAGCUAUUAAAAAAAUAAUGAUACAAGAAAAUGGUUAAAAACAAAAAAAGGUUAUCCUAAGCCAUAAUUUUUUAAUAAAAGCAUAAUCAAGUUGGCUUUCAAGUAGUCAAAUCAUAAGUUGCAGAUAGAGAUUUAUUGGAUCAAACUGGGUUACUAUUUGAUUUUUAUAAUUAAAAGGCAAAAUUGUUUCGCAUGGCCUAAGGAUAAAAUCGUGCACGCUAACACGUCAAAGAGAUCAGGGUGAAUCUGCAAAAGAAACAUUUAUUUUUUAUUUACCUUAUUUCUUGAUUUUAGGGUGGAUUGAUGGGUUGGCUUUUUCAUAAGCUGGCAACUAAGGCUCCGUUUAGCAGAGCUUGGGUGGGUCAGAAAAUAUUUUCUGACUCUCCAAAAAUAUUUUUGGAUGAAAUAGAGAUGUUUGAUUAAAAUAUCAAAAUGUUGUUUUAAUUUUAUCAGAAAGCUAAAACAACUUAUUAAGAGAAGCUCCAAAAUGGUUCAAAAAAGCACUUUUAGCAUGUAGAAUUUUUGAUUUACAAAAUUUUUCUUUUUUUAUACCAAAACACUAAUGAUAAAUAUUAUAAUUACAAAAAAUAUAUCUUUAUAUUUACUAAUAUAUAAUGAUAAUAAUUAUAAUAUUUUAUACCUUUAUUAUUAUAUUAUACUAUAAAUAUAAUAUUAUAUUACAUUAUAUCAUAAUAUAUUAAUAUGUUAUAUUAUAUGAUAUCAAAUUAUGUUAUACUAUUAUACUAUAAUAUAGCAUAUUAUAUUACUGUAAUAUUAUACUAUAUCAUAUAUUUAUGUAUUAAUACAUAUAAUAUUUUAUUAUGUUCUGUUAUAUAAUACUAUGUAAUAUUCUUUAUGGUCAUUUUAUCACACUAAAAGUACUUUCUGAGUUUGUUUAUCAAAUACAUAUUAAAGUUUCACGACACUUUAGAAAUAUGGUUACCAAACAGCAAAUAACUUUUUAUAAAAAUUCUACUUCAAAAAAUGCUACUUUCGAUAGCUCUACUGCUAAUAGCUCUCUAUCAAAUUGGGCCUAAAUCUCUUAGGCUAUUAAGCCGCAUGCUUUCUUGGGCCUACAAAACUGAGAGACCUGCGAAGUGUGAAGGAUCAAACUGCCAAAUGUCCAGCUGAAAAGCCAUUGACAUAGCAUCCAAUUGCUAAUUUGUUUUGACUACACGGCCCGUACAUUACGGUCCAUUGAGUCUGAACCCCAAUUUGUACAAUUCGCAAUCCCUUGUCUUGCAAUAAUGGAUAACGUUCUUUUUAAAGAAAUGACAAGGAAAGUUUCUCUUAUGAUGCAAUAAAAGAAAGUUAAAUGGCAAAUGUAACUUGGUGACUUUUAUUCUUACAAACAAUGAGAAUCUAAGACCAUACCCAUUAGCCAUAGCCAUGAAUCAUUAGCCCCGAAUGUAUUAUCUCUUGCCUCUAGAGACAACUAGAACGAGGCAUGCUUCAAAAGGAUUUAUAGCCCCGUUCUUCACAUUCGAAUUUAAUUAGUAGCGCGCACGAAGGGGAGCUUCUCAUAAAAUACUAGGUUGUCAAUGAAUGUUCUGAUCAUUUGUGGCAAUGGAAAUGGCGUUCUGCCUUGCGUGACAAGAGGACUGGAGCAUCUCCAUAUUGGCAGGACCUGUCUUCAUUCUAUGGCACCCACAGACAACGCUAACAAAGCCCUUGGUGGAGUAACAAGAACCAGAAGAACAUCAACUUGAUAAGGUCCCUGCCUUGGGGUUUUAUCAUUGUCAGAGCAAUUUUCAGCAGUUCGGUGGCUAUCACAAGAUGGCAGAAUCAAAUAGAUGUUUCCGCAGGGAGCAAGCUAUCAUAAUAUUCACCAACAAUAAGGAAAAGGAAAACAUAUAUAGAAUCAUGGCAAAUCCCCCGUCGUUAAGUAGCAGCCAUGGCGGACAAAGCUGCUCCACGAAAUUAUCAAAGGGGCUUCCGGGCAAGGAAGAAGUACAUCGGGGUGAAAAUUUCUUUCCUGCAUCGAUCAGUUUUAUUAUCUCACUCGUAACUGACACGAAUAAGGGGGGCAAACACCAAUACACAGGAAGAUUGGGAGCAUCCAGAAAUUACAGCAAGUAAACUGGAAAAAAACAUUUUACUUACCUUCCACCUUCCACAAGUCCUUCAGCAGCCUUUUCCAGGAAUGAUGAUACUCUGUCACUUCCCGCUGGAGCAAGACGCACAAAUUCUAGUGUCUUAACCUACAGAACACCAAAAUGAACAAUAUUUAAUGACAAGCAAAUAGAAAGAAGAGGAGGAAAGAGAAAUGGAACAAGUAGUGAUCUCAAUUACCAUAGUUCGGGUAAUGAAACGUCCAAAAGCAGUCAGUCGAAAGCUUGUUAUGGAGAAAUGCCUCGUAUCCAAGGGCAAAUACCAUGGCACAGGUGAAUCUAAUGCAAGAUCCUUCUCCCAUACGACCUGUGAGAAAGCAAUUGCAUACUAAAGUCCCACAUACCUUUAUACAGAGGAAGCAUUAAGGACCAAUAUAUGCUGUGUAAUCUUUUACCUCAAAUCCAGCAAGCCUUAAGGCUUCAAGGCAUUGCUUUGUAGUUCUUAUGUCAGGGAGACCAUUACCAAGCUCGACUUCAGCCUUAGUUUUCUGAUGACUUUCAUUUGUCGGAUCAAAGUGAUCGGUCAUGCACCACUCAUAGGCCGCAAAACACUGGCCAGGCUUCAGUGCUCUAUAAAUCUCCUUAUAGCAGCCAAGCUGGAACAAGCAAAAAGGCAUUCGGAAUAUUUGAAGAACGUAUGAGACAAUCAAAAGAUAAGCUAUUGGAAAUGUGUACACAAGCAUUUGAAUUGGCAGAUUACCACAUCUGGUGCAUGACAUGUUGCUUCUAUAGCAUAUAUCGCAUCAAAAGUGUUAUCGGGGAAUGGCAUUUUCAUGAAGUCGGCCUGCAUAUAUGAGAAGUGAAGAGUAUGGAGGACAUAAAGAUUAUCCUAAAUAUUAGCCAAGCAUACUGAAUUAUAUCUUUAUAUAAUAAUACCUCUAACUAUAGAGGUUAAAGACAUUUAGAAUUCAAAAUUAGAUCUCUAAAUGAGAGAAAUCGGCAAUAAUUUUUGCAAAAACAGACAGAUAUAUAACAGAAUACAACCCCAGAAAUAGAAAAAUAGUGAUACAAAAGAGAAGAAAAAAAAGCUACAUGUACCUUAACGAAGUUGCAAGACUCACUCAAUCCUGCUAGCUGGUUUAGCUCCUGUGGAAUGAACACUGUUAGUCGGUAAAGGUUUUCUAUCAAGUCUCAAAUGCAUGUUGAUAUUAGGAAAGACAAAUAGGUAUUAGAAUAUUAAGACGGAAAGUAUUAACAACCUUGCCUCUUGUUAUCUGGUAUUCAUUGUUGUUCAAUCCGGUAAUGGAUGCCAAGCUGCAACAGUUCAAUAUGAGAAGUUAUCAUAGCUAUUCUCUUCUUGUUUUUUUUUUCGGGUAGAAGGGAGGUAAAUUGCAUUCAUUAAUUUCUAAGAUAAGUACAUCCAUAACUAUUUGCAUUUACAAGAUGUAAUAGAUAAGCGGGAAGCCUUGUUGUGCCGUAGAACUCCAGAAUCAGCAAAUCUUUUCAAUGUGUCUAUGUUUAGUAUAAUCUUAGGACUCGUUUGGUUCGCGAGAAGAAUUUUUCCUCACUGAAAUGUUUUUUUUUGAGAAAGCUAAUGCUUGGGUAUAUGAUGCUCAGGAAAGUGAUUUUUGUAUGUUUGGUUGACCUUAGGAAAGUAGCAUAUUUUAGAGUAGCUUAUGUUUAGUUGAGUAUCUACUUUUCUGUUAAAGUUGUGUAAAAUAUCUGUUAUACCUUUAAUAAAGGAAAAGACCUUACGUCAUUCUAUCUAAAAGCUUAAGGGCACAUUUGGAAAAAAAAAAUAACCUCAAUUCCCAGCCAGUGCAAAUUAGAUUUUUCUAUGUCCCACAUGGAUUUUUCUUUCUCAUGAAAUAUGAAUCUUAUUCCAAUGGAAAUAUUACUUCCCCAUCUCUCUCCUUUAAAAACUCUAAGCAAACAUGAGGCCUUUCUCCAUUUUUUUAUUGACCACACUUUUCCCCUCCUAUUCCCGCAAACCAAACAAGUCCUUAGAGAACCUUCACCAGUUAUAUAUCAAAAGCACAGAUAAUAUGUAUAAUAUACACACAUACAUAUAUAAUAAACUCAUUCUUUUAUUUUUCUUUGCUGGUUUAGCACAGAAUUUCUUUAUAACGGCCAUGGCUGAUUAAUAGCAGGAUAUCUUCAUCUAAUCAUGACUGACAACAUAUGAAGCAAAAAGUUUAGAGAUGAAGAGGACAAUACAGGAGCAAACAAUGUAACCAUAAAAGAAUUUCCAUAAUUUUGUACCAAAAAAAUCCAUAACUAGUUUUUUUUCUUGGUGAAAAUGAUACAGCACUCAAGAGUAAACCAACAUCUGUAGAUAAACACCACGCUGAAAUUGCAAGUUAUCUGUGAUUUAGGAAAACUAGAAAAGGCUUUUAUGUCAAUAAUAUGAUUUAUUCUCCAAAAUAUAAAUCUAAAACAGACGAAAAUCUGCUCCAGAACCAUAAAAAGUUGAAAAAUAGUCCAGGUUUUGGGAAACAAGAAAAGAGCUUGCAACAUUUAAAUAUUAAUUCUACAGAAGAUCUCAAAUGAAAGACAUUGAAGGAUGAUAAAUGACUGCUAGUUUAAUCUUUUGAUCAAUAUAAGAAUAUGCUAAAACAGAGGGCAUUUUUUAUUUUUCUGACAAAAAUAGAAUAGAGCAUGGGAAUGAUAGAAGCAGUUAAGUCUAUGUGCAUAAAAUCUUACUUAUUUACUGGUUAUGUUUAAGAAUCAGUACCUCUUAACUUAUUAACGCUUAAAAAAUAUCUGUACAUGUUUUCCCUGCCAGUUGCACCGAGAAAUUCUACUCAAGAUCCUGCAUUACAACAUACAAACGUAACCUUAACAACUAAGCUUCAUCCAGAACAUGUGGAGCUUACAUCUUGAAUCAUUUUCUACCAUUUUCGUGGACCAUAUUAUCUGUCACCACCAACUUUAGACCAUUCUCACAACCAGCCAUGUUACUUUUGGUGGUUCCUCCUUCCUGACACUUUCAAUGCAAUUGGAGCUCCAGUCCUUAUUAAGGCCUCCUUGGUUCAUUAAUUAUCGCAAAAAUCAAACUAUCUCAGUUUAUUAACCCCCAUUUGAAGUCCAAGCCUCCUCUAACCCACUCAGCCCCCAAACUAUCCAUCAUAAAUUUACUUCAUAUAGGCUUCAGCAUGGCCUCUCAGCACUCAUAUGGCAUAUAUUAGGCUUCUCCCUUGGCCAACUUUGUGAACCAUAAUAUAUUGUGGGCUUUACUCCAUGAGGUCCACAGUUAGAUCUGUUGUAUAGAAAAUAACAAAGACCACUUAUCUGAAAUAAUGAAUGAACACAUCACACCACAGAAGAACCUUUCAAAUUAUCCACCUUUUUCUGAUCACAUUAGACUGCCAUUGAUUCAUCUUAGUAAUGGAUCAACAGAAAUGGUCAGAUUAUGCAAUUUUUUAGCCUUCAAUUUUCAUUUAAGCAUCAUAUCCAGUUAUAUUUACACAAAAAUUGCAUCCGCAUGCUUACCCUAACCUCAUCUUGUCGAUGAGCUUAAUGAUAGCAGUGUAACAUACCUCCCGAAAAAUGUGAGGCAUGUGACCUGUCCUAGUGCUAUCCCUGCCCAAGCAUGUUUAACAACAGAAUACUGAUAGAAUUUGCUGCUCUAAUUUUGAUAUGAUUCCUAAUUGCUUCUCUGGAAAAUGUGAUAUGAUAAUUAUGCAACAGGAUCCAAUUUAACUUUAAAAUGGAAUACAGAAAAACAACUUGCAGGAACAAAGUUGAGAAAAAAAGGUUACCUAAAUCUUGCAAUUUCCCGUAGUGGUCCACCAAUUCCACAGCCCACAUCCAAAACCUGCAUUUACAAAUAUACAGAAGCAUAUAUUACCUACAAAGCAUCUUGCCUACUAAGAUUUGCCAUGCAAGUCAUAAAAGGAAAGACAACUAAAACCUUCAUUCCCCUUUUCAAGCCUAGUUGUAGGGCAAGAAAAUGCUCGUGGCGCUUGAUGCUUUCUUUUAAUGAUUCCCCUUUCCAUCUUCAUAAACAUUAUUAAAGUAAAUAAUUAAUUCUAAGCAAUUAACAAGAAAUGAUCCAUAAACAUAGUGUAUAUUUUUUCUGAUGAAAGAUGAAUAAAUUAAAUGUCAGUAAUUAAAGUAGUGUUAACCUGGGAGCAAAAUGGAAGGACUCUCCCCAGCCAAAUUCAUAGAAGCUUGUUGCAAGAUCAUAGUACUUGUUUACCUGAAAUAUAUCAAAUAAACACCAAAAGCAUUUAGUUAGACUUUGCAAGGAUAAGGUCAAAACCACAUUGGCUGUUUCAUGCCAGAUUCACAUUCGCAGUUAUUCAAUGAUAUAGAAAAUGAGUUUAUCCUACAGGUUAUGAUGUUUUAAAAUCUUUUCAUCAGAUUACAGAAAACAAAAAUUGCUCCUAUAUUUUCAUCCAGAUUCCUUCACAAGACAAACAAGCAUCACGUCAUCAAUGCAUACUUAGUUAAUAAUUGACACUGACACGGACGCCUUUUCUAUCAAUCGGAAGUGUUGCAUAUGGUCUUUUAUCCAUAAUCAAGUAUGAAAACCUUAAAAAUGAAUCCGUUACAAUUAAUCUAUGUAUCAUUAAAAAUAAGAGCAAAAACUUGGCUUUGAAAAACAACUAAACCUAACCCUAGAAAAAGGGUCUUGUUUGGAUAUUCAACUAGAAGAGAUAUAAUUAUACAAUUUGAUGGACCAAAUUUCUCCCUUCAACUAAUCUCAAAAACUGUCAGCUAUAGCUGAUACCUGAUCACAAGUACCUUAGUAAAGAUCCAAGUCAUGACCAAGGUAUGCAAACCUAUCAUACAAUAUUUGUCCUUAUCCUGACAUAAAAAUCUGUUUAAUCAAAAUGAAAGUAUAAAUAAAAAGUAUAAAAACCAGGAUUUGAAAGUAUAAGAGUCCAUAUUAUAUUUGUACAUACAUACAGUACAUACAUACAGUACGUACAUACAUACAGUACAUACAUACAUCUACUUUUUAUUUUGUUAUGAACAAAAAUUUCUCGUCCAAAAAGUGUUCCAAAAAUUAUAACCAAACCGAAAUUGGAAUAACUCAUAGCGUAACUAUUCCCAAGGGCAUAAUUUCUGUGUUCCCAUUUUUCUUGUUCCCGAAUCAAAUGCACGCAAAACAUAGGCAUAAGUGAUAAAUGGUUAUGUCAGUCAAACUUGCUUAUAAUAGGCGUAAGUAUUUCAUAGGAGAGUUGUCAUAAACUAUUCAUGGCCAUUAAGGAAUUCUUAAUGCCCGCCUUUUACAUUUUUUUGGAUAAAAGAAUCCUCAUUCAGAAGUUAUUCCAAAACAGCAGCAAUAGUAAACAAGCCCUAAAUUUUAGAAAAUAUUUUUCACUUUUCUUGAAAAUCUACACUCUAUGGAGAAGAUGGGUGGAGUAUGUUAGAUUGAUAUAUCUAAACAUCUCCAAUCCAACCAUGUUUUUUAUUCAACGUCACAAGCUUCAUGUGUAUGGCCCUUUUACUAAUAUAAUAAUAAUAUACAUACAACCAUACAUGGCAGCAAAUUCAAGGUGGCUAUAGUUUAUUUCUUAUCUAUGGAGUCUAGAAAAGGUCACAUAAAACUGCACAAUUUAGAAACUUCAUCCUAGUAAACCGAUUUUCAACAUCACUUUAUGAACCAAGCAAGGCUCAAAUUCUUCAGAUAUUUAACUUUUUUUGCGAUAACAUGCAUUAACACCAGUAAAAACCAAAACCUCACAAAUAGAAAAGCAAAGGAGCAGCAUUCAGAAGAGAACAGGUGGCAAAUAUUUAGUUCAUGACAUUGCAAAAAGUAGCACACUGCAUCAACAAGGUAAAGCAGAUUUAUACCAAUAUUGUCCCUAGAUAGUAUGCUCCAGAUUAAAAAAUAAUAUGAGGCUUGUUAAUGGCACAAGCCAGUUCCACAGCUCGAAAUCAACUGGUUCAGUGUACUCGGCCCCAUAUUUACAGAAAGAACUUGCCUAAAUGUGUGCACUUGCAAAGUUUUAAACAAAAAAUUGUAAAAAAAAUCAGAUAAAGGAACAGUAUGAAAAGAAAACAGACAUUAUGAAAGCAAUAAUUCUGUUUCAUUAGACAAAUUUUGAUGGUUCAAUCAUCAGCCUUGGGUUGCACAAAAGAUAUUAGUAAUUUAGGCAGUCAAAACAAUGCUGAAAAAUAACUAACCUGACAUCAUAGCAAAAUACAACAUUAUUGAUUCAUCCAAAUGAGAGGACUAAAUUAGAUUGGAUGCAAAAUGGGCUGGGCAUUCUAGAAUGUUGCAGAAUACAUUAGCCAUUACAAUAACACAAAGAGCUUGCUAGUGCAUACGUCCAUUCAUGAACACAUGACAGUAAUUUCAAAUCCACGUAGAAAAUACAAGCUCAGAAUAUUUAAACUCCAAUUACUAGAGUACUUAGUGACUAGGCUCGCCAAAUUGGGCUUCAAAAACAUGAAACACAAUAAUCAUUCAUCAAGAUGUCUUAUGUAGAAAGUUCUUAGGUUUUAUUUUAGUUUUUUUUGUGUGCUUUCAAACUUUUUUGAGCAGGGAAAAUUUUUGGGGAUGGUUAACAAAUUUUUCCUGCAUAAACAACCAUAAACAAUCUCUGACAUAGGUAGGAGUUAUAUUUGAAGUGGAAUAGNNNNNNNNNNNNNNNNNNNNNNNNNNNNNNNNNNNNNNNNNNNNNNNNNNNNNNNNNNNNNNNNNNNNNNNNNNNNNNNNNNNNNNNNNNNNNNNNNNNNNNNNNNNNNNNNNNNNNNNNNNNNNNNNNNNNNNNNNNNNNNNNNNNNNNNNNNNNNNNNNNNNNNNNNNNNNNNNNNNNNNNNNNNNNNNNNNNNNNNNNNNNNNNNNNNNNNNNNNNNNAUCAUUUUAUGAACCAGGCAAGGCUCAAUUCCUUCAGAUAUUUAACUUUUUUUGAGAAAACAGGCAUAGCGAUAAGAUCACAAAUUUAACACAUGUUUUUUCCUUAAUUCUUGUUCUGUCUUUUGUUCUUCGUUUUAUAAAUUACUGUCAUAUAGAUGGUUUCAGAUUUGUCUUAUUUUGUGCACAUGAGCCAUAAAACUAGUUGCCUUGAAUUCCUCUAGUCACAAGAAUCUUAGAAUUAACUUUGGGAACCAGCUUUCCAUGUCAAUUUUUCUUCAAACUUUUAUUUCCUGCAUCAGAUCAGGCAUAUCAGAUCUCUGUUCCUCUACGGCGUCAGAUCUUAUGUCUUGCAUAAGUACCCUUCCACUUGACAACAUAGUCUUCUACAUCCUUCUUUCAAUCUUUGAUCCUAUAAGCCCAAAUACCCUUAAAGUAAUCUACUUUGCCCAUUUUAACCAUCUCUUCCCAGAACUACCCACCUACACAACUUAGGCCAGCAAGUCAACAUUCCUAUGAUCGAUACUGUCAUUCUACUAACAAAAGCCAUUCAUUACCAUAAAUAACACUCUAAACCAUGGGAUCAUAUUUUUAAUGCUAGCAACGAGUUUUAUAUAAAUGAUAAAAUGAACAUAGCUUUGUAUUGGAGUUAAAUCCAACAAUUAAACAAGAAAUAAAUAAAUAAGUUGUCUUACCAUGUCACUGUAGUUGGCUUUUCUUGUUUCCUCAUCCCCUCCAAAAUAGACAUGAUAGUUCUCAUACCUAGGAAAAGAAAAAUUAUACACAAUUAAAGAAAAAUACCAGUUUACAGAUAAUUGUGGUCAGAAAGACCUACAUAGUGAACAAAAUGUUGUAAACUCCAGGAAGAAACUUCAAUAAUCCAUCUUUUGUUCACAUCAUUUUGUUUGUGGAUUGUCAAAUCAGUAACGGCAGCCUCAAGGUUAUUUUGUUAAAAUUAUAUGGACAGCAAAGAUUCAAGCUUGUAAAGUUGAGGAAUGCAAAGACACCACUAGCAGAUUGGAAGGGCAUGUAGAAUGUGAUUAUUGUUUCACUUGUCAAACUACAUUAUUGUCUGAUAAGCCUAAAAGAAAGAAAAUUUAGGCCAGAUGCUUCAUAAGAAGUCUCUGGAACGUCAAAAGGUGGAGCAAAGAGGAAGCACUAACUGGAAGAUUCUGCAUGGACACAUGUUAUAGGCCAAAUAGCAAGGGUCAUUAUCACAAACUAUUAUUCACAAAAGCUGCAUUAAUCCUUGCGAAUAAUUAAAGAAAGGUAAUUAUUGUGCAAUAGACCACAUAAAAAAGAGGGUGAUCUGCACGACAUAAGGAAAAUUUAACUGAAUCCUUGCAAAAUUCAUCUGAAGGAUCUAUUGGAAAAAUGGGGAAAACCCCAGAAACUUCACUAGAUCAUUACUUGGACACAAUAUUAAUUUAUUAAGUAGAAUAAGAACUUUUUGCAGCAGCAGGCUGCGUUUUAGUACUCAAUCAAGUGAUAAAAGGCAAUGAUCCAAAUGAAAAAACAGAACUUUUGAAAGAUAUCCUGCCAUCAAUAGUCAUCAUUUACCCUGAAAUCUGAAUGUUGCAGCUGCUGACAAACGUUUAAUCUUUCAAACCACUGUUAGCAAAGAUCAGCAGAGCUUUUUCUUAUGUUUAAACUAGGAAAUAUUGAAGCUUUAAAUCUCGAUGCAUCUGACAAUCUUCAAAAUCUUUGUAUUGUUUCAUCAAAUAAAAAUCAUCUCCACUUUCCAUCUUUUAUUGCGUUACCAUUAUACAUCUUUUUCCUUUUUCCUUCAACGCAGUAGAUAAAUGUGAUCCGUUGUCAAAACUUAUGUGGUACAAUAUGCUCAUAACGAUAAGAUAAAAAUGAUUCAUUCCAUAACAAGAUAAUGCGAGACGGAAUAAUUUGGUGAUUGAAGCACAUGUUUCUAUCAAGAAAAGUCCAUGGCAUUAUCACAUGGAUCAAUCAUACUCAUAACUAUCUAUGUCAAGCACUAUUGAAAUAUAAUGGAAGAAAAACAGAGGGCAAGGCGAGAAACAUACUGCUCCACUGCCGAUUUAACUUCCUUCUUGUCGAUCCUUCCUCCCACACCAAAAGCAAGAUCCAGAGCUCCUGACUUCGACAUCACUGGAUCCCAGAAACACUAAAAAAAAUUAUAAGCACCAGAUCAAUUUUUUUUUAAAAAAAACUUAAUUAAAGUUCAUCCACUUUUCCAAAGUUGAAACAAAAAAAAAAGAUACAAGAAGAAUAAAGGAAAAAGGAAAAAAGCAGAGAAACCGCAUAAAGAACAAUAUAAGAUGCUAGCAAUGAAUCCAAGUGACAGAAAUUAUUCUUGAUUUUUUUUAUUUUCUUCUCUAUAACGAGAGAAAGCGAGGAGAUUAAAAAAAAAUAAUGAGAAAGGUCAAAAAAUAGUCACAUCAAAAAGCAACUGCAUUUGAAAAAGAAAAGUAGAUGAUGUUGAACAUAGAGGAAAAUAUUUUUAGAGUUUCGCUAAAAAGACAAAAUCGAACGAAAAAAGGGACAUGGAAAAAAAAUGAAUACCCAGAUCUAAAAACCAAACCCGUAUUUUCGCAAGAAAAAGCAAAUAGGAGGAAAAAGGAAGACGAAACAAAAGAUAAACAGCCAGACAUCAAACCCAAGCCAACCAUAUACUAGGAUUUUAAUUUAAAAAAAGAAAAAAAUGAAAGAAGAAACAAAAAAAUCAACAAAAUUCACGAAUAUUACAUUCUCUCGAUUCUUUCAAAAAGAAAAGGAAAAAAGAAAACUACGACGCAUACCGCAUUCCGCCUAAAUCGAAAAAAUCCGCAAAAAAACGACGAAAUAAUAGUAGACAAAGCUUUUCUUUAUAAAAAAAAACAGAAAGAUCAAGAACUAGGAGACUUGAGAAGAGAUAACGGUCUUAAAAAGAUCAGAUCGGUGAGCGAAUGGGCGAAGACGAGGCCUUACGAUUUUUAUCGCGUGCAAGACGGGACGAUGGAAUGUAAGAGGGCAAGAAAAUAAAAAUAUCAGAGGAAAGGUGAAGAUUUAAACCCAGCCAGGCUUUCUAUUUAUAGAGAGAGAAGAGAGAGGGUUCGAACGCAACUGGAGAGAGAGAGAGAGAGGAGAAGGGAUGGGGAGAAGAGCACCGCCUGAAGCCAGCCUGUUUAUUCCUGCGAGGCUCCGUCGAGCACCAAUCCGCAGUCUGCCACGUCAGCACCAAUCCCCCCGCUCCUCCGCCGUGUCGGGCCCAUCUGCGCUGGAAAGUGCAAGGGCAUCUGCUGUUUGGUGCCUCACAGCCACGCUCCCAGGCCGUCCUGCAAGGGGCCCUGAGGGCUGAGGAUGUCUACAAAUUCGAAUCACUCCCUGCUCCCGUUACACCGAGAUGCCUACAAAUUCGAAUCACUCCCUGAUCCGCUGUUUGGUGUCUCACAGCCACGCUCCCAGGCCGUUCUGCAAGGGGCCUGAGGAUGCCCACAAGUUCGAAUAACCCCCUGAUCCCGUUACACCGACCGCAACAAAACCGUCCCUGUCGUUAAUACAACAUGGAACCAUAUUUAACAAUGGAAAAAUAAUGAUGCUACUAAUCCAUGAUAAUAUUAGUAAAAAAUUACUUAUAAUCCUGCGCAGAUAUUUAUUUUUUAAAAAAAAUGAAUUAUGUAAAUGCAAGAUAAUUGUAUUGUUUUCAUGAUAUAAUGCCUAUGUUUUAAAUAUAUGUAACAUAUAAUUUUAAUUUAUUUUUACGGAAAUUAUGGUGCGGAUCAUUUUUGGGACUUCUCUUGCAUUCCAUAACAAUUUUGCUUGGCCUUCGGAAAAGAUUCAGUCCACUAGAAUGAAUGUGACCCACCACUCGAAGUAGAAGGAAAUGAAUGCGUUACCAUAUGUGAUUGCGGACACCUGUCUCGAUGGAGGGGCGACAGAGAACCAAAUAUACAAGCACACACGUACUAAUUGGCCAAGUUAUCGUGCAUAGUUUGCCCCAUAAAAUACUAUUAUCAUCGUAAAAAAUGAAUGACUAUUCAUAAUCGUCCAUCUCUCUCACUUGAUGAUAGACAUCAGGCAUUGUAUAGUAUUCUACAGUGACAUCAAACCAUCCAUGCCCAUAAAGAAUGAUUUUGGAUAUUAGCAAGAAACUCUAAUUAGACUACAAUGAUCGGCUAGAUCCAGAGAGGCACCGACAAUGUGGUGGGUGUCGCCCUUUAUUUUGAGACAUUUAGGUCGUGGUUAGUGGCAGCGUGACGUUCCAAGCCAAAUACGUUUAAAAAAGACUAACUGAGCUGCAGACUGUGUGGUCUUGUAUGUGGCCAAUCAAUGGCUCCAUGAAUUGGAGAGGGGGCGUUGUUUUUUGAUUUUUUCGGCGUAUUAAAACCCAUAGGAAUCAUUCGCUUUAGGAUGUGUUUAUCUGUUAAAUAUCUAUAAGUAGGUGAGAAGAGGGAUGAGUAAUAACCUCUGAGAAGAUGACUCGUACUGCUCUCUUGGAGUAGUUGGUGUUGGGGAAAAAAUGGAUUACCCCGAAACAUGUGAACGCAUCACCGGCACGCGAUUGGAGGCGCCCAACCUGGAGGUGCCCGACCCCGAGGCGCCCGACCUCGAGGUGCCCGACCCCGAGGUGCCCGACCUCGACAUCCCCGACCUCAAAAUGCCGAGCCGACCUCAGGAGGUCGACCUUGUCGUUCACACGUUGCGGCCACACCCUGCGGCAACCUCACCGCACCAUGCUUCGCUCGUCAGCCAUGCCGCGACAUGACCAGGGCCCAUGCCUUGAAGGACUAUCAGCAAUUAAUGCGCAUGGCCUCCACAGACCUCCGGCUUACUCAACAAUUAAUGCGCAUGGCCUCCACUGAUCUCCGGUUUACUCAACAAUUAAUGCGCGUGGUCUCCAUGGAUCUCCGGCCUUCUCAAAAUCUCAGGCCCCCCCACGGCAAUCAGUUGACUCACUUAACUGCGCCCGGUCACCCACAACAACUCAAUGGCUCCAGUCUAGCCCUCCACGGCAGCGCAUUAAUUUACAGGAUCAUGCUCAAUCAUGACGGUAACUCAUUUAAUUCGCCCAGUCGAAUCACAGGUAACCCGGUACUCCUCCUAUAAAAGGGGGAACCUCCUCCUUCAUAAAGGGGGCUCGAACUCUAAUCUCUACAUGCAAAAAUCUCUCUUUCUCCACAAAAGCCCCUUCCGACUUAACCAUCGGAGGGCCGGCGCCGGAAACCCCGGCCACCGGCUUCUUGCAGGUCCCCCGGAGGAUGCAACCCGCCGACGUACCACCACCCGCCACUCUUGCCGGAGCUCCUCCUUCUCAGCCAGUGGUCGCCCCCGGGUCCAAUUUUCAGCAACAGUUGGCGUUAGAGGAAGGGCCCGAGUCGUGGCCAUGAAGCUAAGGAGUAAGGGAGCCUCUAACGCCUUCCGGCAUCGCGUACCAAGUCUUUGACACUCAAUCCAGAACCCAUCACCAAGGCCUCCGGCGGAUCUAGUCCGCCAAGUUCAACCAGAGUAGUUCAACAAGUCCAAGCACUCACUGCGGCCGUUCAAGGAGAGCUACAAGGCCCUUAUGACACUCCAAGGAGCCACAGACGCUCUUCUCUGCAAAGCCUUCCCAACAACUCUCCGCAAGGCAGCUCGUCUUUGGUUCUCCGGACUAAAGCCCAGCUCGAUUCUCUCAUUUGAACAGCUGGGCAGGCAGCUCGCAACCUAUUUUGCCGCUAGCCGGCGUCAGCGUCGGACCUCAGACUCCUUCGCCAUCAAGCAGAAGGAGGGAGAAUCCUUAAAGACUACAUCAGUCGCUUUACCUCGGCCACAUGGGAGGUUCGCGAUCUCGACCAAUCAAUCGCCAUAUCGGCAUUAAAGACUAGAGCUCGGUCCUACACAUUUCUCUUCUCCAUCGAGAAGAGCUUCCCCACCGACUUUGUUGAAAUGUUGGCCCGAGCUCGCAAGUAUGCCAAGGUUGAGGAAGCCAUAGCCUCUCGGCGGAAGAUAGCCGAACGAUCUACCAAGAUGCAGAAGACGCGCCACGAGGAGCGCUCCCAACCAAGCAGCAGAUCCCCCUGGCAUGAGAAAGAGCCUCCUUGGCCCAAGAGCCUAGCUCAUUCGAGGUCUCCACUCCAAAAGUUUCAGGCAUACACUCCCCUCACAUCCACCCGAGCAGAUAUCCUCAUGGAGAUUGAGGGUCAGGGCUACCUCCGACCUCUAUUGAGGAUGCGACCGACAGAGUCGCAGAAGACUCGAAAAAGUACUGCCACUUCCACCGAGAUCGCGGCCAUGACACGGAGGAUUGCUACAAGCUUCGUGAUGAGAUCGAGGCAUUUAUCCGCCGAGGUCAGUUGAGUUGUUUUGUCCGUGAUCAUGCCUACAGGAAAGAGCCUGAGGAACAAAACCCAAUGCCGCGUGAGGAGCGGGACGACAACUGAUCUCUUGCGGGCAUCAACAAUAUCAUUAGAAGGCAGGCGAGUAGAGAUGCCUGAAGCAUCGAGCUCGGAAGAAGGAGCUUCCUCAAAGCAUCCGUGCACUGUGAAAGUCAUCUCUUUUUCUGAUGAAGACCAAAAGGGUGUUGAGCCCUCUUUAUGACGACGCUGUAGCUAUUUCCUUCAAGGCUUUAAAAAGGAUUUUAGUGCAUAAUGAAAGCUCAUUAUGCACUCCAAGAGCUGAGCUCUUGGAGUAGUUGGAUUUAUCUCUAAGACGGUAAGAGAAGGAUGACGAAUAAUUUUUGAGAAGAUGGUAAUAUGAACCAAACACAUGCAUCCAGGCAGAUCCCAGCGGACACACCAUCUAAUGAAUCUUUCUUUGACUACAUGAUAGUUUUGACCCCAUGCCCUUUAUCUGUUUUACACGAAUUAGAAUAACACAAGCGCAAGCUUGUUAAUUAAUUAGCCCGGUAACCGAGCAUCGUGAUUUGUGCCCAAUACAUGAUGUUUUCAUGUGAUGGUGCCCGCGGUGACACAUAAAAUGGCUUCUAGCCCAGCUCCGUCCAAGAUAUUAAAUGGUGAUAACGUCCUCCUUUAUGGUCCCCGUUGCCCAAUGGUUGGCUCUCCAUGCGGAUAGUACUGGACAGCGAAUGUUGGGUCCUACAUACGUGCAUCAAACUAAGGUUGCCUAAAGGGAGGAAUCAACAGCUGAGAAUGACGAGCAAUUGGUUUGGAGGUAUAGUUCUUUAUCGAACUUCGAUAAUUCUAGGAAUUAACCAUUCCAGGCUGCCAAAAACCGAAGACUAGGUUGGACCUGCACACAUAACGCCACUACGCAUGGGAUGCACGCCACCGUUCAUCACAUGGCACCACCAGUACCGGUGCAUGUGUCUACAGUAUUACAUUAAUUUUAGGAUUAGUAAAAUAUGAUCCCAUCUGUGUUCGAUUUGCCAUAUACAUAUAUGUGUUUGGCUUAAAAGGAUACGGAUUGUGAUCCGAUUAAUCUAUUUAAUAUUUGGGUUGGAUUUAAAUUUUAGCCACUUAAUAUGUUUAACUUGUUUAAUUAUCGAGUCAUAUCGAAAAAUUAAAUAACUCAUUUAUAUAGUAUUUAAAUGGUGGGGGUUGGGCGCUUGGUCCGGACCUCUCGCCUCCUACCUCUCGAUUCCGUCUCCUGCUCUUUUGAAUCUCAGCUCCCAACUCUGAAAUAAAGGUAAAAUAGUUGAAGCAUAUUAAUAUUUUUUUUUAAAAAAAAAUGAAAGCUACUAAACAAAAUUAACGACCAGUCAAAUCUCCAAACAAUCAGUGUGCUUCGUUACGGCUCUGCACGAUCUCAACAUGUACAAAAAGGAAUAUCAUAAUUGUCCUGAUCAGCAAAUAAGGAGAGCGCCCAAUCACAACGCCCUGUAAAGGGAUAUUAUAACUACCCCAAUCAGCAAAUAAAAAAAGAGUUUAAUUGCUUGUCAACAAAUCACAUGAUCCUAACCAUGCAAAUUCUCACCCUCUUCUCUAUAAAUAUGAGGCAUGGAAACUCCCUAGGUAUGAUGAGAAACCUUAACACUAUAUUUCCAUACUUCUAUCUGUCUUUCAUCUAUCAUGAGACUCUGCCCGACUUAAGCAUCGGAGGAGCUCCAACUGGAUACAUUUUGGCGACCCCUGAUCGUUUUCUGCGAUUGCAGAUCAGCUCCAACACCGUACAACGCUUCUCCAACCCAAUCAAGAAAAGCAACCUCAACCAUCAUCUCGUCCCCUCAUCAAGUUGAAUUUUGAGCAGCAAAAGGAAUUUUGGACGACAUAUAAUAGGGUCUCCCAAUAGGAGAAAAUGUUAUAUGCUGACUAUACCUUCUUUUUUUUUUAUUGCAAAUUCUCUGCAAUCUUAAUUGCAGAAAAUUAGUAUAACAAGAUAUAUGAGAAAAAGAAGCAAUAUUUGGAGUUGAAGCAAAUUAGUAUGUUUUUCUUUUAUUGCAAAUCCUCUGCAAUCUUAAUUGCAGAACAUUAGGAUAACGAGACAAAUGACAGAAAGAAGCAAUAAAAGUCCUUAGGGAUAAGUUACCAAGCAACUACGCUAAGAGUUAUUGACAUCUUUCAAAUUACCAAGCCUGAUCAUUUUGAAUGAAAAAAAUGUCUCCCUCCAUUCUUCUUUUUUUUUCCUUUUUCCCACUAAAAUUCAUCAAGAACUCAAGUUGUACGAAACACUGGGUUAUAUAUAAACCAGCAGCCACCUUAUUUUACCAAGGUGGUUUGUUCGAGCACCAUCUAGAAAACAAAGAAAGUUUGUGAGGGAAAUGAAAACAAUAAAGCACCAGCAACAAGGAAAUUAAUCAUGCACAGAAGAAGAAGAGUCUGGCUUUGCCGAACUUCCUCACAUGCAUCCAGCUGGUGGAAUCACAAGGUUCAUUGGUUUAAGAUAUGUACGGAGCAAGGUGGCUUAAAUAUGGGAUCUUGUUGCUUUGUUACAUUCCAUAGGGGCUGGCUGGGUGGAAGAGAGGAGGAAAGGAUGACACCAAGGCAUUAGAGACCAGGGAGCUAGGGUGAUCGUGGUUGGAGGACGAAGAAUAUUUGACACUUUGGUUUUUGGUGCCGAGAUCAGAACAGCAUCGAAGGGAGUUAGUCACCUAUGCGAGGUGGGAUAUUGGGGGCUGACUUUAUCUCUUUAUUGAGUGUGGUCUCUAUGAGGCUACACAUGUUUGUAGGAAAGCGAAUAGCACGGCUGAUUGGGUAGCUUCAUUCGCAGCCCACCAUGCUAGAGGCUUCAUCUGGGCUAAUCAUGUACCGGUGCCUCAUGCUUUGGGUUAUCUUUUUUUCUUCUAAUUUAGCUGGCUGCUCUUACGCCUGACAUGAGUGAUGAAUAGCGUUAGUAACCAAAAAAAAAAAAAAGAAAAAGAAAAGAAAAAAAGGGGAGAAGGAAGGACUGACAGCGAGGCAAAGCAAGCAGCUAGUCAUUGGCCUCCGGAAAAAAAAGGCACGUGCACCCAUGUCUCACCCGGCGCUGGUGCAACGAGUGCAGGUCUGUCCUACAUGUAGAAAGAGAACAAAACCUAGUAUAGAAAUCCAAAGGGACGGAAACAGACGUAGUUUGGGGUCCCUAGCUGAUGCAGACGGGCAGGCACGUGGAAAGAAGGCCAUGCAGCAACCGGCCACAGUGUCCUUAUGGAUAGAGGUGAAGGAUUUUGAGCUCUAGUAGCUGACCUUUUGCUCCCAUUGGGGAUCUAAUUCUACAAGAAAUUAUUGGAUAGGCAUGGCUUGCCAGCUCGGCGGUAGAUUGGGCCAAUAGCAGCCAGCCAUGUGCAACAUGUCUCGAUGCUUCCCCAAUAUAGAAAAAAUGCAACCAUAAAAUCAGAAAAUAAAAUAUUGAAAAUUUUUGAAAAAAUAUUUGUCCGUGAUAUACAUAGAAUAGAUCCAAUCUGCAGUGCUAUUAGUCUCUUUAUAAAUAUGUGUAAUUUCAAAGGAUUAUAGAGAUGCCCUGAUUUUACACCAAUAUGUGAAGGUGCAUGCUUUUAGGAUUGGUGCUCUAAAAACUCCAAAGGAAUACUCUAAUCACUUUUUCCCUCUCUCUCCUAUCUUCUAUUGAAAGAAUAUGCAUCACAUAUAUUAGACGCCAGCAAUUUUUAUGGCUGAAAAGAUGAUCAAUUGGAGAAUUUUUAACAUCACUGAAAUAUGUAGACAACUAAGAUACCAAUAUAUCAGGUGAUACAAUAAUGAUGGGACAUUCUAUACUUCAUAAAUAUGAUUGUUCGUAUUUUAGCUCCAUUUUCCAUCUCUCUCAUGAUUUUUAUGUAUUUUCAAAAUAUAUUUUCAUUUUAAUGUCCCAUAAGAAAUCUUUGUGAGAAGUUUUCUAUUCUCUUUACCACAAGAGGUUGGCCGGCCCAUAGCUUUCUUUGCUCAAUAGUAUCCAUGUGUGGGCUAGUUGGCUCCCUGCUUGUAUCUAAUAUGAUACAAAUUUUCACCCACCAAAGUAAUUUAAAAGUUACGCAUCACUAAUAUAACUUUUUUUUGGUAAAUUUUGUCUGUUAUUGCACCAUUAAUUGGUUUUUGAGCCCCAAAUUCUAAUAUCGUUUACUUUGGAGAACCAUUAACAAUCGAGUUAAAGCCAUACUUAGUUUGUAAUACCUAUGGAGAUGGUAUGCUAGAGAAUUUUUAAGUUCUAACAUGAUUAGCAAAUCCGUUGUUCUGUAUUUAAUCUAUGGAGAUAUUGAAAUACACAUAAAUGAGAUAAUCUAUAUAUAUAUUUCAAACUUUAGGGACAAUUUUAGACCAUACAAGAGACUACAAAAAUCCUAGCCAUCAUAUUAAUUAGUGUGACACCAUCCAAUAAGCUUAGUAUGUUAACUUAUGUAAAUCAAUAAUAAGAGAUAAUAUUUUAUCACUUAUCAAUCGAAAAAAAUGAAAAUAUAAAAAUAUGAAAGUUUAAAAUAUUGCUACUUCAUCGGCCAAGAUGAAAGCCAAAGAGUUGUGCCCAAGGUACCAAACUUGUCCAUAUUAAUAAAACAGCUGGAUCCUUCCCCUCUCUUCCUUUUUUUUUCUUCUAAAGGACAAUUCUUUGGGUCAAUGCUAACUAAUAUAUUUCAAGGUAUCGAUCGAUAUAAUAUAAUACGUCAACAAGAAAUUCUAGAUGCUCAUGAUACUUUUUGUCACCUUAUUAUUGACUUCAUAACCAUAGAAAUUUACAAAUACACAAAACAACAAUUAACUUUAUUUUUGUCACUCAUUGGCUAAUAUUUUAGUAUUUUAGGUGUCAUGUCUGUGGAUGAGAUAUCCAGGACAUGCUGAAGCUUAUAUUAGUACAGGCUGCGUCGUGAUUAUGGAAACUAUGCCCAAUUAAAUUUAGGCUUGAGGGCGAGAAAUCCAAAGCCGGUCAACUUGGACGACUUAGUCGGCAAUCGAGAUAUUUCAUUAAAACAACUUCUUAAAAUCUUUUUUUUGUGGUUUUUUAAAGCGUUGGAUACAUAGCUUUUGACUAAUAGAGAAGGAUCGGCCUCUGUUUGGCCGAUUUUAAGGUUCAUAAUACUCUUUUUAGGCCCUGUUUGGGGGAGCUUUUGGAGGGCCAGAAAGCACUUUCUGGCCCUCCAAAAGUACUUUUAGAUGAAAAACUGUGUUUGGUAAAUUUUUCAAAAAGCUGUUUCAGCUUUUGCGGGAAGCUGAAAACAGCUUUUGGGAGGAAGCUGUUUCAGCUUUUUCGAAGAACUAUAUUUUUGACAAAAAUGCCCAUAUUAAAAUAACAUAAUUACAUAGUUUAUCCCUGGAUGAACCUAAAAAUCUGCUAGAGUCAAGAACCCAAGCCGNNNNNNNNNNNNNNNNNNNNNNNNNNNNNNNNNNNNNNNNNNNNNNNNNNNNNNNNNNNNNNNNNNNNNNNNNNNNNNNNNNNNNNNNNNNNNNNNNNNNNNNNNNNNNNNNNNNNNNNNNNNNNNNNNNNNNNNNNNNNNNNNNNNNNNNNNNNNNNNNNNNNNNNNNNNNNNNNNNNNNNNNNNNNNNNNNNNNNNNNNNNNNNNNNNNNNNNNNNNNNNNNNNNNNNNNNNNNNNNNNNNNNNNNNNNNNNNNNNNNNNNNNNNNNNNNNNNNNNNNNNNNNNNNNNNNNNNNNNNNNNNNNNNNNNNNNNNNNNNNNNNNNNNNNNNNNNNNNNNNNNNNNNNNNNNNNNNNNNNNNNNNNNNNNNNNNNNNNNNNNNNNNNNNNNNNNNNNNNNNNNNNNNNNNNNNNNNNNNNNNNNNNNNNNNNNNNNNNNNNNNNNNNNNNNNNNNNNNNNNNNNNNNNNNNNNNNNNNNNNNNNNNNNNNNNNNNNNNNNNNNNNNNNNNNNNNNNNNNNNNNNNNNNNNNNNNNNNNNNNNNNNNNNNNNNNNNNNNNNNNNNNNNNNNNNNNNNNNNNNNNNNNNNNNNNNNNNNNNNNNNNNNNNNNNNNNNNNNNNNNNNNNNNNNNNNNNNNNNNNNNNNNNNNNNNNNNNNNNNNNNNNNNNNNNNNNNNNNNNNNNNNNNNNNNNNNNNNNNNNNNNNNNNNNNNNNNNNNNNNNNNNNNNNNNNNNNNNNNNNNNNNNNNNNNNNNNNNNNNNNNNNNNNNNNNNNNNNNNNNNNNNNNNNNNNNNNNNNNNNNNNNNNNNNNNNNNNNNNNNNNNNNNNNNNNNNNNNNNNNNNNNNNNNNNNNNNNNNNNNNNNNNNNNNNNNNNNNNNNNNNNNNNNNNNNNNNNNNNNNNNNNNNNNNNNNNNNNNNNNNNNNNNNNNNNNNNNNNNNNNNNNNNNNNNNNNNNNNNNNNNNNNNNNNNNNNNNNNNNNNNNNNNNNNNNNNNNNNNNNNNNNNNNNNNNNNNNNNNNNNNNNNNNNNNNNNNNNNNNNNNNNNNNNNNNNNNNNNNNNNNNNNNNNNNNNNNNNNNNNNNNNNNNNNNNNNNNNNNNNNNNNNNNNNNNNNNNNNNNNNNNNNNNNNNNNNNNNNNNNNNNNNNNNNNNNNNNNNNNNNNNNNNNNNNNNNNNNNNNNNNNNNNNNNNNNNNNNNNNNNNNNNNNNNNNNNNNNNNNNNNNNNNNNNNNNNNNNNNNNNNNNNNNNNNNNNNNNNNNNNNNNNNNNNNNNNNNNNNNNNNNNNNNNNNNNNNNNNNNNNNNNNNNNNNNNNNNNNNNNNNNNNNNNNNNNNNNNNNNNNNNNNNNNNNNNNNNNNNNNNNNNNNNNNNNNNNNNNNNNNNNNNNNNNNNNNNNNNNNNNNNNNNNNNNNNNNNNNNNNNNNNNNNNNNNNNNNNNNNNNNNNNNNNNNNNNNNNNNNNNNNNNNNNNNNNNNNNNNNNNNNNNNNNNNNNNNNNNNNNNNNNNNNNNNNNNNNNNNNNNNNNNCCCCCAAACAGGGCCUUAAUGUCACAAAUAUGGGAGUGCACACCUUGUCAAGACUUUGGGCUUCUCUCCACAUGUGGGAGUUCAUGUUAAACUCUUUUUAUUUCUAUUUUUUCUUAAAAAAAGAAAACUUAGCUAAAAUGUUAAACUUGAAAGUCCAUGGGUCCAUUCUUUACAAACAAAUUACGGUGUCAAUAAUUUACAGGAAGACCGUAGAUUGGGUGGCCUCAUAUGGUCAUAUGCAGCCAAUCACUCCAAAGAUGCCCUGUGAGUCAAAAAGGGGAGCUACUUAGAACGCUUUGGGAUGUGUUGUUUUCUGAUCUUUUAGAUAUUUUUGUACUAAAUUGUAUGGAUCAUUUAUCUUAGCAAUUUUUUUUUUUUUUUAACACUUGAACUAAAACAAUCUAUGGAGCAGGUCAAGCCUUACUUUGCUCAUAGUCAUGGACAACAUUGUGGAGGCCAGUGUGGCUCCUGCUGCAUAAUUGAACCUGAGACUAUUCUUUAUGAGUAUAACAAAGUCACAUUCAUUGAAUUCGUAGUACAUGGAAUGGAUUCAAUGCAAUGGUUGCUUGGUACUUGAUGGGAAGACAUAAAUGACCAUUAAAGCUCGCGGAUCUCGCUAAUCUCACCUCUCAAUGGGAAGAUCCUUUGGUGCGGAGUAUCACAUGCCCAUAUAGAAGAUAGUCGUCCUUAUCUUAAGAUGAUCACAUGAAAACUGAGACAGGAGAGCAGGAGUAUAGUUUUCAGAAAUCUUGCCUGUCAUAUGUAUGAACGCAAGCUGAUUGGCUCAUCCUUGGAUAAAUAAAUAACAGAAAGGAUAGUAGAAUCCACACAAAGUUUGACACUUUCUCAAUGCAAGAACGAAUUAUAUCUUGCUAGGAUCAAGUUCAAAAUAUAGAUUGUUCAAACAGAAAUUUCAGCUAUUUUCAAAAAACUACAACUCAGUAAAAUAUAUAGUCAAAUGAAAAGAACUACCGAAGUGGAAAUGAAAAAGAAAGCUAUCUUCAAGCAAAAAAUAUAAAUUGCAUUAUUUUAGGAUCUAUUUGAUAUUGUUCUUAUUUUUGUGUUUUUGUUUUUUUGUAACUUAGUGAAAUACUACAAGAAGAUUGAUGUUGAAGAGAGCACCUGCACAAAAUUUCAGCUGUUUCUUACUCUUUUUUUUUCCUCUUUGAAAUUAAAAAAAAACUUUUUCCAUCAGAAAAUCUCUAAAAAUUUUACCAGCAUUUUAAAAACAAUACAAUUUCAUCAUAAAUAUUAUUGUCCAGUCUAUUCAUAUUCUUCUUGGGUUUUUGAAAACAAAAACAGGGCCUUAGCAUCGCCACCACACGAUUAAGUAUUAAAAAAGAAAAAAUAUAUAUAUACCGCAUUAGAACCACAUUAGACUUUAACAAAAGACUAGCUAUUAAAAGCUUCAGACUUGGAACAAUACUUGCAUCGUUACAUGGUUACAUCGUUACAUCGUUACUUGCAUCAUUGGCCCAUGAGGACCAGCUGAUCCGCAGAAUUCCCGACAUGGCAGGCCGGAUAAGGCCCAGCUUUUAUGGCACAAACAAAUCUCAAACUCGGACGAAACCAAGUCAAACA